This 75257-nucleotide long non-coding RNA is filed under the name Vitis vinifera (wine grape). RNAcentral describes it as "long non-coding RNA (VVIN_LNC006286)". Lineage: Eukaryota; Viridiplantae; Streptophyta; Magnoliopsida; Vitales; Vitaceae. The record is from RNAcentral.
CUCUCCUUUUGCCCAAUCUUUUAUCAUUGAAUAACAGACAUGGAUCUCUUCUUUUCAUAUCUACUAUACCUUAUACUAUUCUCCAUAUCACUUCCAAUAGUCUUCCUUAUUACUUACAGGCACAAAUCCUCCAAUCCAAACCUUCCCCCUGGGACAAUGGGAUGGCCAAUCAUAGGAGAAACUUUGGAAUUUUCUUUGGCUUGUCAAGGGGGGAACCCGGGGAGAUUCUUGAACGAUAGAAUGAACAAGUACUCCCCUCAAGUGUUCAAGACCUCCUUAUUGGAAGCGAACAUGGCUGUGAUGUGCGGCGCUUCGGGCAACAAGUUUCUUUUCUCCAACGAGGACAAACUUGUAGUCUCAUGGUGGCAGCGUUCAAUGAAGAAGAUUUUGUGCUUCCCAUCUGUCUUCAACGAAACUUUAACAGGAGAUAAGUUCAGACCCCCUACCUUCCUUCCUGAAUUUCUCAAGCCAGAAGCUCUGCAACACUACCUAGCCACCAUGGAUUCGAUGGCAAGCGAACACAUUGAGUUGAAUUGGUCUUCUAAUAGAGAGGUACUGGUUUUUCCGCUUGCAAGGAAGUACAGCUUUGCGUUGGCUUUCCGGCUCUUUAUGAGCAUUGAUGAUCCUGAGUAUGUUGAGAUGAUUUCUCAUCCCUUCCAGAUUUUGAACGAAGGAUUCCUUUCUGUGCCUAUAGAUAUUCCUGGGACGACAUUUAACCGUGCUCUCAAAGCCAGCAAAUUCAUUCACAAUGAGCUUCUAGCAAUCAUCAGAAAGUGAAAAAUGGAGUUAGAGCAGAAGGGAGACUUAGCUACUAGAGACCUACUGUCUCACAUGCUCUUAGCAUCAGAUGAAAAUUGUGAUGUUAAGAGUGAGAUGGAGAUCAGUACUCAAGUUAUUUGUCUGCUUUUUGCUACCCAUCACACCACAAGUUCUGUCAUCACAUUCAUCCUCAAGUACCUGGCCGAGUUCCCUGAUGUCUAUAGCAAAGUCUUAAAAGGUAAUACCUAAAAAACCGGCUGUCUCCUUUCUUUUGAAUCCAUUUCAAGCUUACAUGCAUUGUUGUUUGAUAGUGUUUUCAUUUGAAGUAUUUUUUAAAAAAUGUUUAUAGACGAGAUAUAAAGUAUUUGUCUUUUCUUUUGUCUUGGCCUUGAUCCAUGGGGUAGGUGAAUAGAUUCGUUGACGAAAAUUUUUAAAAAUUUUAAGAUAGUUUUUCUUCCUCAUCUUUCCCCAACUAUUGUGAAGGGUUGUUCAUUAACAGACCAAAUUUAAAAUUAAUUUUUUUGAUUCAAUAGAGCAAAUGGAGAUUGCAAAGAGCAAAGGUCCGGAAGGGUUUCUGAAGUGGGAUGACAUUCAAAAGAUGAAAUAUACUUGGAAUGUAGCAAAUGAAACAAUGAGGCUAACCCCACCUGUGCAAGGAACUUUUAGAGAAGCCAUAACUGACAUCACGUAUGCAGGUUUUACAAUUCCAAGGGGAUGGAAGGUAUGUCAUAUAUAAAGUGCUGUUUUGUAAAAUCAAAUUGUUUGUGGUACACUCACGAAACUUACUGGAAAAUUUUGUCCUGCAGAUGCAUUGGAAUGUAAAUACAACACAUAGAGAUCCCAAGUAUUUUCCUGAUCCCGAGAAAUUCAAUCCCUCGAGGUUUGAAGGAAAAGGGCCUCAACCAUUCACUUUUGUGCCUUUUGGGGGAGGGCCUCGGAUGUGCCCCGGAAGGGAAUAUGCUCGAGCGCAGGUACUUGCAUUCAUACAUCAUGUGGUGACAAGAUUCAAAUGGGAGAAAGUAGAUCCCUGUGAAAAGGUUGCAUAUAAUCCAUCACCCAUUCCUUCCAAGGGCUUCCCAAUUCGCCUCCAGCCUCUACAAAAUGGAUCUAUUUAAGAUUUGGUUAUUUAAGAAGCUAUAUUUGUGGUGCAUUUGAAUGUUUCAAUAAGAUGGCUGCAUGCAUAAGUUUCAGUUCCUGCAAAAUAAAGUGGACAACUAAUAUAGCAAAAAAAGAAAAGAAAAAUUAAAAUAUAUUAAUUCCAAUAAUCAAUGAAAGGACAUGUUGGGAAGUAUCCAAAAUUCCUAAUUAGUAUAAAUUCCUUUUUAUAAAGAAUAUUAUAUACAAUAUUUCCUAAGUUGAUACAUUAUUGUAAUAUUAGAUUUCCUUAUAGAAUAAAAAAAGUUCUUGGAAAUAUCUUUAUAAAUAUUUUAGGUCAUGAAAGGAAAAUGUUAUGAGAUGGAGACGAGCCUAUAAAGACCAUACGAGGUGGAUAGAUGUGAGGGAGAACCAUACAAGGUGGAUAGGAAUGUGAGGGAGAAUGAGAGAUACCCGGUGGAGCGAGAGAGCUUUUGGUAGGAUAUGGAUACAAAGAGUGGGGGAUAUGAUAUGUUUGGAGGACUCAAUAGUUGUAUCUAGUUCUAUAAUCUAUAAUGUUCUAUAUUGUAUAAUAGAAAGAUUCUCUCCUUUGUGAAUGUAGACAUGUUUGGUUAAACCACAUUAAAAUCUCAUGUACCAGGUGAGUAAUUGUUUUAUCUUUCUGUUCUUGAAUGGUAUCAGAGCUUUUGCUGACACAACAUGUACAAUUUUUUAUGAUUCACAGGAAUAAUAUUUUUCUCUCAUUCAAUCUCCACUAUGUAUAAGAAAAAUGAGAAAAGAUGACACCUUAUAAUAAAAAUAAUGGCGCUUUUUACAAGCCCCAACAAAUCAAGCAUUCUUAUAACCAUUUUUUGUAGUAGAAAUCUCUUUCUUGAUUUCAAUCCAAGGGCAAUGGAACUGAAAGUUUACUUGAGGGCUAGAGGUGACUUAUUUUUUAGUAACCUUGUUCAAGGUGGACGAAGAGUGGGUGUGGAGUGUAUGGUAUUCCUUCACAAGUGUGAUGAUUGGUUCAAGAUUUGAAUUGAGUGCCACGCAGGCCAAAGCUAGUGGUUUCUAUUAGAAGUUGUUACAUCAAUUAGUUUAUAUGCUGCAUAUAUUCAGGGGUAUAAAGGAGACUAUUGUAAUAGAAUAAGACUAGACUUCAGGAAAGGUUUUGGGGUGUGUUUGAGAGAAAAUAGAGAAGAUUUUCUUGAUGAGUUUUUUUAGAAAAUCAAACACAAACAAAGAGGGAAGAGAUCUGUAAGAACCUUGUACUCAAAGUUCAUCAACAAGAUUGACUCUGCAUAUUUUGGCAUAAGGACAAGUUUAUGAGGGAUUUCCUUGCUCUAUUUAAGAGGGAGUUUAAAUGAGGGCCAAAAGACUUAUUCUUAUUAAACUUAUGAAGAAAUUUUUUUAUUGUUUCAAUGAACUAAGCAGUUUCCUUCUAGAAGUUGUCCCUUUAUUAAUUUGCGUUAAAAUUAAGAAAAAAAUGCUUCAAGGUUUUUGGUUGUAUUAGAAACUGUCAUUUUUUUUUGGGUCCCCUCACCAGACCGACAUUGAAGUAUAAUAUCUGUAUUCAUAGGUGAAUUGAGGCACUUGAUCCGGCCCCUUAGAUUUUCAUCUCCUAAUUUGGCUCCUUGAUUGCAAAUCUCUUUAUGAUAUUUUGUCAAAAAGAGAAUAUGCUACCUUAAUCUAUUUGAUCAAUUCAAUGGCCAUUUGGACCUAUUUUGGUGUCAACAAGACAUCCAAACACCAAGAGACAACGUGCAUUAUCGACCUAGUUGGAAGCCUGGAGCUUGAAAUUGUUUUCUAUUGAUGAGUUAGGCUUGGGUUGUGGUGGACCUUGGCAUGAUUUGACCCUUUUUCUAAUCCACGUCGGGCCUUAAUUUAACGAAGUAGACUAAGGGAUUGAGCACUUGGUGGGAUUGAAGAAAUCUUUUUGGGGAAGUACUGGAUCUUGAAGCUUGAAACAUCAAUCUUUGAAGAUGUCAACAAUUUGAACAUGUGCCAUAGUGAAAUCAAAUGUGAAAAAACCUUUUUUUUUCUUUCCUUAGUACUUUUUAAGAACCAAACAUAGUCAUAAUGGUUAUUCCAAAUGCUAGAGGUUUAGGCUAUGUUUGAUCCUCAUAAAAUUUGAGAGAAAAUGUAAAGGAAAGAAAAAGUGAAGAAAAAUAAAAGAUAGAGUUAAAGUCGAUAAAUUAUUUUUAUUUAUUAUUUUAAACUCAUUUUUAUUUAUAUUAACUUACCAAUAUAAAAAUUAAAUAAUUUAAAAAUACAUAAAUUUCUAACUAAUUUUAACUAUAUUUAAUUUUCUUUGGAAUUUCUUAUAGGACAAUCAAACAUGAGAAAAUAAUUUUUCUUACCAUUUUUUUCUUUUCUUAACACUUUCUGAGAACCAAACAUAACCUUAGUGAUUUUAUCACAACUAAUAUUAAGAUAAACAAGUAAUUAACUCAUGAGUCUAAUCCAAUCCUUAAUAGUAAGUGGUGGAGUCUUUGGUCUUGUUUAUGCAUGUCUUGGAUUUGAUCAAUUGCUUUAAAAUUUUUGUUGAUUACGAAUCCAAAUUUGAGGGUUGAAGCAUAAAUUUAACAAGGGAAUUGAAUAUAUUAAUGAUUAAGUUAUGGUCGUAAUAUAUAUUGAGAAGACAGGACUAAGUUUAUUUUCCUUAUAUGAAUCUUAAAAAUCGUGACAACUUGAAGAAUAUAGUGGUAGGUGAUGUUAUAUGUACGAAUGAAAUAUUCCAUGAUUCGUUUCUCUCAUGAAUUCUUUUUCAUUGUAAGUUAUUUUUCAUUAAUUAAUUUUAAAAAUACAAAAUUACAAUUGAAACAAAAUCAAAUCUUUUGUUCAAAAAGAAAAAGAAUUAAAAUAUUUCUAAUAUAACUAGAAUAAUAUUAAUAUAUAACAUGAUUUAAUAUAUUAUCUAAUAUAUAGAAAAUGGAUUUAUCCAUUUAUGUUUUAUUAAUGUAUACCAUUUGAUUGCAUAUCACAAUAUUUUUUUCUUUAUAAGAUUUUAAAUUAUUAUAUUAUUCAUAAAAAAGAAAAAAUAAUAAUGUACUAAAAAUAAAUUAUGAAAAAAUAUAAAUAAUAUUAUCUUUUUAAUAUUGAAAAAUGAGAUGAAAUAUAUUUUUUGUUUUAAGAAAUACCGAAAAGCUAGGUAGAGAUAUGUUUUCUUUUUUUAUUUUUUUAUUUUUUUUUCCUAUGGAACAAAUAUUAUCAUACUCAAUAGAAUGGGCCCAUGGUACCACAUCGGAUUCAAUCUAUUAUCUGUGAGGUAACAAAUUCAGUAGAAUGGACCCGUAGUUAUGAUACUUGUAUGGCCACAUCCCUCCUAUGUAUAUUUGGUAAUGCUCCAUCAUAUUCACUCGGAUAUAUCAUAAUGUCAUAAGACCAAUUGUCCAUAGUUAUGAUAAAUAUUAUGAUAUAUAUAUAUAUAUAUAUAUAUAUAUAUAUAUAUAUAUAUAUUCGAUAGUGGAAAAAGUUUUUGAUACUAUGUAUAUAGUGGACUUUUAUCAAUUAUGUAGAUGUCUUUUAUAGUCGUGAGUGCCAUUAGGCAUAAUGUGGAGUGUACAUGAGAGGGAGCAAGGUCAUCCUAAAUAUGAUGGAAUGAGAUUAUGUUUGUCUAACUUUGUAAGUGUUAGGAUUGAGUCUCUAAAAGCAAGACAUGAUAUAACAAAGUUAGAUUUUACUGUCCUUUUGUUAUCCCUUGUAUGCAUUGAUAUUAAUUUUAGUAUUCAAACUCAUAUGAUCACUUGCAUUGUACAUGAUUUCAAUGCAAUAGAAGUUGUACAGAAGAUACAAUUCAUGGGUUUCUUACAAGAUGAUAAGUUCUUCACAAUCAAUUAAUGAAUUUGGGCAAUCCAAUAGAGGCUGUAGUGCACUACCUUCUAAUUAGAGGGAUGACUUAUUUUAAUCAUCAUGAUAAGUUUUCCAUGGUGAGUACAUUAGUAUGUAUGAUUAUACAUUGGAUAGGACUUACGGUGAAUUAUGAUGUAAGAUUAUUAUAUUGUCAUGAUUCACCAAACUUCUAUAUUGCAUGUACUCUCAACCUUGAGAGUAUAUUGAGUCUCUAUUGAAAUCAAUAGGAAGCUUUAAUUUGACCUACAGAUGAUACCCUAUAAUGGUCAUAUAUCCCUAUGGAUUGAAUCAUUAUUGAUGGAGGCCAAUGACAACAAGUAUUCUCAAUGGAGGCAUUAUCAUAUCUCAUGAGAUUAAAACAGUAUGUCCCUUUAGGUGAUCCAAAGGACAUGUGAUCAUGGAAUAUGUGGUCGCAAUAAUUCUUUUAGUAGAAUUUACUCCCAUCCACUUAUUUAGGUCUCCCUUUAGGUGCUCUGUGUAAAUCUACAAUAGUUUAGGAUGGAGUAAAAGAGAGAUUUUAUAAGAGGUUGUCCAUGUGGAAGAGACAAUACAUUUCCAAAGGAGGGAGUAUUAUUUUAAUUUGAAAUACUUUAUCUAUAACUAGCUUGCCCAUUUAUUUUAUGUCUUUGUUCUAUAUCACAAUGGCUAUUAGAAUGAGGCUAAAACAAAUUUAGAGGGAUUUUUUGUGGGAGGUGGGGUGUUAGAUUAUAAACCACAUCUUGUUAAAUGGACGAUUGUUUGCUUAGACAAAAGGAAAUAUGGGUUGGGUGUUAAGAGUCUCUCAAUUCUUAAUAAGACUUUUAUUUGCAAGUGGAGUUGGUGUUUUUCAAAUGAGAAUUGUGCUUUCUAGAAGCAAGUUAUUUGUGGGAAGUACAGAUAAGAAAAAAGGGGUUUGUCUUCUUGGAAGGUGAGAGAGGGGUGAAGGGUUGUGUUGGGUUGUAGAAAACAGUAAGGAAUUAGGAUUGGGAUCUUAUGAGAACUAGGUAUUCCUUCUUGGUAGGUAAUGGGCGGAGAGUGAAAUUUUAAAACGAUAAGUGGUAUGAGGGCAAUCUGUUGAGUGUGUCUUUCUCUUCUCUAUUUGCUUUAAGUAAUUCUAAGGAUGUGUGGGUGCGUGGAGGAAGUUUAGAAUUACUCAACUAAAAAGGGGGGGGGGGGGGGGGGGGGNNNNNNNNNNNNNNNNNNNNNNNNNNNNNNNNNNNNNNNNNNNNNNNNNNNNNNNNNNNNNNNNNNNNNNNNNNNNNNNNNNNNNNNNNNNNNNNNNNNNGGGGGGGGGGGGGGGGAGGGGGAGGAGGGAAGGUGAAAUCCUUAUUUUUCUAGACCUUUUAAUGAUUGGGAGAUGGAUUGUGUGGAGAGAUUUCUAGCAUGUUAAUUUGCAUGGGAAGAGAGUGUAUAGGGAUGCAGAAAAUACAAUGCUUUGGACAAUGACAAAGAGUGGCAAGUUUAUAGUUAAUUCUCUUUACAAUGCUUUGGAGCUAGACAACUUCGAGUCUUUUCCAAUAAGAGGAAUUUGGCUCUCAUGGGUAUAACCUAGAGUGAGUUCCUAUUUUAUUUUUUAUUUUUUAUUUUUUGUUGAAGGCUACGUGGGUAAAGUUUUAACCUUGGAUCAAGUUCAGAGAUGAGGAUGGUGUUUAGAAAAUAGGUGUUAUUUUUUUCAUUUGUUUGAAAAAUCCAUAGAUCACUUGCUUCUCCAUUGUGAAAAAACAAGGGUUUUAUAGGAGUUGUUUUUUGCAUUUUUUUUUUGAUAUUUUUGGGUGCUUCCUUUAUUAGUUAAAGAGAAUCAUUGGGGUGACAUGGUUUUUUUGUGGAAAAAAAGUGUGGGAAGGUUUAGAGUGCAAGCCCUUUAUAUUUGUUUUGGAGAUUUAGAAGACAAGGAACAAAAAUGUGUUUGAUGAUGAGGUGUUUUCUUUCAAAAAGCUAAAAAAUGAUUUUUAUUUGGUUUAUUUGGUUAGAGACUAAGUUGUUUAUGUAUGAUUGUCUUUUGACUUUAGUGAGUUACUUUGAUUGGUUGGGCCUUGGUGAGGGUCCAAUUCUUUUGGUUUUUUCUCCUAUUUGAGCCUUGGUGGUGGAGGGAGGUUUGUUUCUUGUAUACCUUAGGUUGCUCUUUUGGUGACUCAUUUUAAUUUAAUUUGAUUCUUUAUCUAUCAUUUAAAAAUAUAAAAAAAAUCAUAUCCUUCUUGGAGUUAGAAUAUGUCGGUUGAACAUACAAUAGAAAAAUUUACAACUCAAGUAUUAGAGGAGUAAUCUUGAUGGGUUGAUAACAUUACCCUAUUAUUUUAUGGACACCAAUUCAUGGGGUGUCUGUAUGCAAUAGAAAGUAGAUCACAAACCUGAGCUUUGUCUCAUUGCAAUUUCAUAAAAUACUGGCGUGUAGUUAACUCUUUUUAGUAGAGUAUUGAGUCAACUUCAUAAUUGGAAUAUAAAGGAGCCAAUAUUUUCUUAUAGGUCCCAAUGGUCCCCCAUCGAGCUCUUAGUUCAUAUUGGCAUGUUUUGAGGGUAUUUUGGCUAUGUACUUCAUAAGUGUAUAUAAGGGUGUUUUAAUAAGAAUAUAAUAUUGCACUAGAUCUUAUGAAUUGAUUUUCUUAAAUGGGCUAAUUAAUUAAUUGGAACAUGUUAUGGCUAAUUAAUUAAUUAAGACUGAAGCCUAAUUUGGGUUCAAGUCACUUAAACCCACAAAAAAAGCCUAUAUAAACCCCUUAGGGGUUAAGACUUUAUUCUUCUAGUUCGGUUUUCUAAAAUUGCAAAGAGAGGAACCCAAGUCAACCUCAAGAAGAGAGAAAAGCUCACCAUUCUCUCAUGCCAAGCAUCCAUUAUGGGAGAGAUUGGCUGGAAGAUCAUUGGAUAAACUAGUUCUACAACAACCACAACGUUUUCAUCAAAUGGGAUUCUAUCUAGGAACAUUCAAAUCACAAGUUUGAGCUCUUUCUAUGUAAAUCUAGGUUUUUUUUUGUUUUUAUACUUAUAGGUUUGAAAACGAUGAGAAAUCAGGAUAAAUAUGACCAAAUGUAUUUUAUAUGGAAGUGGAUGUUACCAAUAUGACAAAAUAUAUUCUAUGUUGACUGGAAAUGAUGUGAUAUCCAAUCAACCAAAUCACGUGGAAUACAUUUAGCAAUGAUAAAGUAGGUUUGGUGAUGUAAAUAUAAGGCCCCAAUAUUUGGGUUAGGCUCGUUUGGGUUAAGAACCUUUUCGGAUUUUCUUAUUUGGUGGCACAAACUUGACCGUGACAUAUACCAUUAUUCUAACACUAAAGUGGACCACUAAAAUGCCCUACAAAGCGCUAAUAUUCAACUCACAAGUUAGAUAGUUAUCAUGAUGCAAAAUAAUGCUUCCCAUAUUAUAAUUUUUGAAAAUAUGAUAAAGGAAAAGUUGAAUUAUCACAAUUCAUUUUUCGUAAGUAUGUAAUAAUCUAACAAAUUUAAAUCAUAUUUCGUAACUAUUAUCAAAAACGGUUCUUAAAAACACUUUUUGAAAAAUUUUCUUUAAUAUUUUAUAAAAAAAAUAUUUAUUUAAAAAUUUGAAAUGUUUUAAACCUAUUUUCCAUUUAAAAAAAAUAUGUUUUAAAAAUAACUUUAUAUAUACUAUUUUAUUUGUAAUUAUUCUCCAAAUUUAUGCAAUAUUUUUUAAGACAAUAUUUAUAAAACUAUUCUAAAUAAUUGUUUUCAAAACCAUUUCAUACAUAGACCCUUUUAUCGUUUUUUUCUUCUUUUCUUUCUUUUUUUUUUUUUUUUAAGAUGCCUAUUAUUAUUGGAAAGUAGUUUUAAAGUAAAUGUAGAGAGCGCUGAUCAUUUUGAUGCAUUAGUUACAUAUUUUGGACAUCUUUCUCAUUACUUUUUAUUAUAUUAAUUUGCUCUUCUACAUCUAUAUAUUGGUUUUCCUUGUUCUAUUUGAUAUACUUAAUCAUUUUUGUGAGAAAAAGAGGAGAUGACACAUACAUUCAUAUUUAUUUUGAGUAACGAUGAUUCUACAUUUUAUCAUUUUCUCAUAAUUUUUAGAAUUUUCUUAUAAUGUUUGGGAUUUUUGAAUUGUGAUAUUUAUAGCUUAUCAUAUAAAUUAAUUACUAUUUUUCCCAUGCAUUACUUUUCACUGGUGUUAUUUGUAGGUUACAUGUUUCCAUGAUCUUUAAAGACUUACAAAGCAUUGAUGGAAGAUCAUCGAGUUGAAAUUUUUAGUUUAGACAUAAAAGAUUGAGAUGGUGUUUGUUUUUUUAACUUAAUUCUAAAUAAAACUUAAAACUAAAUAAUGUUUAAUAAUGUUAAGUAUUGAGUUAUUUGUUUUUUUAAAUAUUUUAUUUAUAUUAAAUAUUAAGAAAUAAAGAUAAACUAAUAAAUUAUUUUAACAUUAAAAAAAAUUAACUUAAAAAUUAGCUCAUUGAAUAAGUAAAUUCGGUAGGAUGGUACCAAUGAAAUCGAGUGCUAACUCCCAUUUCUUAUUGAAUUAACUUAUCAACUUUCUAUCGAACUUUUGGAUUUGAUAAUUUUCGCAAAAAAAAUCAUUUAAUUUGACUUUAUUAUUAUUAUUAUGAGAAUAAAUCCUACUACUUUUGGUUAUGGGGUUUCCAUGCUUGAAAAAAAAAACCUAGGGCGUAUCACUCAAAUCAUUGGUCUAGUCCUGGAUGUAGCCUUUUCCCCGAGUAAGAUGCCUAAUAUUUACAAUGCAUUGGUAGUUAAAGGUCGAGAUACUGUCCGUUAACAAAUUAAUGUGACUUGUGAGAUACAACAAUUAUUAGGAAAUAAUAUUUUGACUUUUUUUAUUCAAUUGAAAAUUUUAAGAAAUAAAUAAUAAGUUAAUAAAAAGUAAAAAUAAAAAUAAAUGAUCUGAAAUAUAAAAAUAAGUUGCUUUUUUAUUUUAUUUAAAAAAGUCAAAUAAAUAAAGAGACAACACCUAAGUGGUAUAUAAACUCAUUUUUUCAUAGCAUUGGAGGAGUUAUGUAAUAAUUAUUUAGACAUAAAAUUGUUAAAAGGGGAUAUUGCUAGUGAUUUAGAUUAACUACUUUAGUUUGAUAAUCUUAUUCCAAAUAAUUAUUCGUCUAAUAUUGUUGCAUAUUUUCUAAGAUUAAUAUAGGUCUUGAAGAUUUAAUUAAGAUCAUCAUCACUUUGUAAACGAGGCCAUCUAGGUAAGUAUGCUUGAGUUAGUUUAGUGAAUGAUAUAAUUAAGAAGUGUAUUUUGAGAAUUAUUACAUAACAUGAGCUUUAUAGGUUUGGAAAAGCAAAUUUGAGAAGGAGUGCUCAAGAGGUUCUUAAGAGCGCUCACUAUAAAACAUGUUAAGAGUUAAACAUGAAGAUGCAUAUAGAUACUAGCCAAUGUAAAGUCCUCAGGGAAUUGAUAGCUUCUAAUUCAUGUAAAAUUGUGAUUUAUUUUUUCAUAUUAAGUGAAUUUUCUCAACAAUCAAUUGACCAAUGAUAUUUAAUUAAUAUAUAGUUUAUAUAUAUAUAUAUAUAUAUAUAUAUAUAUAUAUAUAUAUAUGAUCAAUUUUUGUUUUGAAAUUUGAUGUCUGCUAUUGAUCAAAGGAUUAAGAAAGAAAGAAAGAAUGAAUGAAUUAAUCAAUCUCCAUGUGUAAUUUCAAGAAUCAAAAUUAGAACUUCUAAAUGACAAAAUAAAACUAAGAAUCAAUUUUAUAGUGAUUUUAGAAAGUGUUUCUAACAUUUUUAACACUUUAAAAUUUCUAUCAUUUAAAUAUUAGAAAUAUUAUAAACAUUUUCUAAAAUCAUUAUCAAAUAUAUUUUAAAUGAGAUUCAACUUAAAUUUGUGUUUCUUGUUGAUGGACGUGCAUGUUAGUAUUUUAUAGUCGAGUGAUGAACUCAUCUCUUAAUUAAAUUUUAAAGAGAACUCUUAUCAUUGGAAGAUGUGGUCUACCAUGAUCUUUGACUUUUCAGGGUUAUAUAUAUUGAAUACUAAAGUAAAAAUUAAUAAAUUAUGGCUAAAGAGACUUAAAUCGGAAUUUCUUGCUGGAUGGAUGUGCGAGUGUAAAAAUAACAAGUGUAAUUUCAUUGAUCGGACGAUGUAAUGAAUUAUACAAAUAAUUUAACUAUUUUUUAUUUUUUUUAAGUUUGGAGAUGAAUCACCCAAAUGAUGACUCUUGAAAUAGACCCAUUGGAUGUGAUGUCAAAUAUCAUAAAAUGUUUGAUCUAUCCUUAUUGAUCACCAAUUGGUUUUCAAAUGACAUGAUCAAAACUCAAUCUUAGAGUUGGUAUAUAUAAGAGAUUGUGCAAGAAGCAUCGUAAUUGGGCAAAUAAAAAAUAAUGUUAAAUAACUAUAUUUUUCAUACAAAUUUGUAUGGUAUAUGAUUGAAGAAGAGAGUAAAGAAGUGUUGUUUGACUGGAAUUCUUAACAGCAAGGUCAGAGCUCUCUACAGGGAGUCAAUGAGGACUUUCCCAACAUUACCUUCUACCUGCUCUCUUCUCUUCUAAUUUCAAUUCUAACCGCUGGAAGAGAUGGGAGUGGUUUGGUGCCGAGGAUUCAUCCCCUCACCUCAUCCAAGUUUUUGUUGAGUCCAAACAAAACUUUAAACACAUGUUCUUUUCCAACAAUUUUCUUAUACUUCUGAGAAUACUUAGUACAACCGAAUUUAUUUUCAUCAAAUAAGUCUAUAUGUUGCCAACGCCUAUUGAGAAUAUUGAUAAAGUAUUGAGUUAUUGAGAGUUCUUCUUGCUUGAGAUCAUUAAGAAGCUUUCUCCUGGCAUUUCAGUUGAUGGUACAGAUAGCGAGGCCCAUACACCUAUGGCAAUCAGUGUUCCAGAUUCUGAUUUUCAUGAUUUUGAUUUGAACCAAACUAAAAGUUCUUUUGGAGAUAAUCAGGUCUGGUCGGCAUACGAAAAUGAUGAUGGGAUGCCUCGGUUCUAGGCACUGAUUCACAGAGUGAUCUCUUCGAAUCCGUUCAAGAUGAAGAUCAGUUGGCUUAAACCCUAAAAGCAACAGCGAAUUUGGUCCAGGAGAUUGAAUAGGCUGGUUGAAUGGAUAAUGGGGUGGGUUCAGUAUGGGGCCCUCCUUGAGAAAUAUCCAACAGCAAAUUAGGACCUUUUUGUCUUAUUCAAAAGGGUCAGACGGCUGGAACACAGGUGCUAUUGAGUUAAAUGUUGCCAUUGGGCAAGGAAUCGAGACCACUAGCAUCCACAGAGCAAACACAAUUGCACCGUGGCCCCACGUGCGCAUGGCCAUGCAUGGCGACCUUUGGCGUGCAAUCCCAGCCGCCACAUGUCAUCCUCUUAUUUCUUCUUUCUUCUGAUGUCAAAAUUUAAUUUCCCAAUUUCUAAUUUUUAAAUUUAUUUUUCAAAACUUCAAUUUUCAAAUAAUUUUCAAAAUUCUAAUUUUUAAACUUUUUUUUUAUUUUUAAAAAAGCACCUCAAAUUUCAAAUUUAAUUUUCAAAACUUCAGUUUUUAAAACUCCAAUUUUUAAAUAAUUUUUAAAACUCUUGUUUUCAAAUUUAAUUUUCAAAACUCUCAUUUUCAAAUAAUUUUCAAAACUCUAGUUUUUUUAAAAAUAAUUUUAAUUCUACUCCAGUUUUAAAAUAUUUUUAAUUCUACAAUUUUUCAUCAUUCAUUAUGAAUUUAGGUCACCAAAAAUCUCGAAUUUAAUAAACUUGUUGUCAUUCUUUUUCUAGCAUGCACUUUUACAAAUUUUAUUUGAUUUUUAAUUUAUUUUCUUUUCGUUUUUUCUCCUUUUUUAUAUAUAAAAAUGAAUAAAUUUUCAUAAUUCCAAAAUAAUGGAAUUUAUAGGAAUUAAUCCAUAAUAAAAUAAAUAGGUAAAUUGGGCUUUAGUAGGGGUCUACAUAUGAGUUUUCUCUUCUAAUUGUCAACUGUUAUACUUAAUGAAUAUUGUUUGAUCUUUGUUCUACUAUUUGACAUGCAUGUGCUAAUUUUAUCAUUAUGAACUAACCUUGUUUCCAUGAUAUCAUGUUCUUAUUUGCUAUUAAGGUAUGCUUUCACUCCUACUUCAUUUAUUUAUUCGUUCUUAUACUCAAAUUGUUUUAUUAUUUGAACAUUUCAUUGGUAUCCAUUGAUUUCCUUAGCAAUUGUCACACUUGCCUCACCUUAUUUAAUAGAGACCCAUUUUUAGAGACUUAGAAGGGUGCUACGACUCACCACCAUAUCUUUCCAAUAGGUAACCUAACCCUUGGACCUAGACUUGAUUUUUCACAAAUCUAUUUUUUUUUCUUUAGGAGUCAUACUUAAGGUUUUCUUUUUAAUUUUGUUUUUCCUUAAAAAAAAUAAAACAAAAAUAAGUGGCGACUCCAAGUAUUUUUCAAAAAAUAAAAUUUUUCAUAAAUAAAAAGUGAGUUCCUCAUCGAGUGGGAAUGCAUCGUGCAAAAAUGCAGGGUCCACGCCUUGAAAUUUAUUUUUAUUUUAUAGUAGAAUCCAAAGUUUUGUAAUACUUAAAUGGCAGAAAGAGAGCAAUCAAGCUUCAUGUGCUAGUAUUUUAUUUAUUUUUUAUUUAUUUUAGUAUUUCUUGUUUGGAUUGAAACAAAAACAAGGAUAUCAUACAAAAUUAUAAUAAAUUUUUAAAUCUUUUAUUUCUUUCAAAUAGAUUAGUAUAUAUUAUAUUAUACAUAAUGCUAAAUCAUAGAUGCUUCAAAUGAUUAAGAAGGAUAACUAAUUAUCUUUCUAUUAAAAAAAUAAAUGAUGUCAUUAAUUGUUGCAAACUAAUUUACAUUAUGGGAUGAUGAGUGGGUUGGUCAUUCUAUCAUCUUCAAAAUUAUCCUAGAUAAUAAAAGUAGUCCUAUAAUUAAUGAUUAAAUAAAAAUAUUUCUUUUUCAUUUUUUUUAAAGGUGGUUAAGAAACCAAAUGCUUGUACAUAUUAUGUUCUUUUCUUUUAAUAUUACAUUUGUCAUUUUUUUUUCAUUUAUGUACUGAAUUUUUUAAAGAUGACUUCCUUAUUUAAUAAGAGAAGUAAGUGUCUCAAUUAGAGUUUAUAAUAACGCUUGACUUUUUAUUAUAGAAAGAUGAAUAAUUUAAUCAUAAAACAAAAGCAAGUGUGGAAAAUUGUAGUAAUUCCUAUAUAAAAUGUAGGAGCUCUUAGAAAUUUAUCUUUAAAAAAAACAAAAAUUUUAAAAAUCAAUUCUUAUACAAAAUCAGAUAUUAAAAUUUUUUUGACUACCUCAAUUUUUAAAAAUCUUGAAAGUAAUUUUUAAAAAUAUAAAAUUUAUAUCUCAUGCAAGUUAUUGGAUUUCAUAUAUAAAUUACUAUUAUUUUCUCUUUUAGAAAACAUGAAAUUAGUAAGCCGGAGGACACUUAGACACAUAUACAUUAAAAUCAAGGGAAAUAUGGUAUCCACAUUUUUUAUUUAUGAAAAAUUAAAGAAAAUGAACAUGCCUAACUUUAUAAAUGGUUUGUAUGGAUUGACAUUUUAUAAGAUGAAAAUGACUACACUCCAAUAUGCUAAUAUUCAUGUCAUAUUUUAGUCGUGUUAUCAUGUUACAUCAAAAUUGUCAUACUGAUAUUUUUUUUUUUUAUAAAUUUAAUAAUAUGGUACAUAACUUUUGUAGAAAGAAAAGUUUAUAAGCUAGCCUUGCUAAACAUAUACCUAUAAAAAAUAUUUCAAAACAAGUGUAUAAAAAAUGGUCAUCAAAUAAAAUAAUGUUUGGAUUUAACAAAAUAACCUUGGGAUUUUAGGUUUAAGAAAUUUUGAACUAGGGCUAUCAAAGAUAGGAUUUAAUGAUAUUGGUUGGGAUUAUGAUAAUUUUUUUUUAUAUAGUAUUUGAAUUAUGACUGACUACAUCUAUAAUUAUAAUUAAAUAUUGAAUAUAUCUCUUUUCAUAAGGCACUAUGAAAUAAUUUGUAACAUAAUUGAAGCACAAUAAAAAAAAAUUUAAGCUACUUUGGUCACUAUGCAUAUGAUCUUAAUAGAUAAAUGAGGAUAAUUUAUCAAUGUCUCAAAGUCAUUCUUGAAAGUACUUGUAAAUAAUUUCAAAUAAAUAAAAUUAUCCAUGCCUAAAAACAUACAAAUUAAAAUCAACAAUUCAAAUUAUCCAUGCUAAAAAACAUACUAAUUCAAAUUAUACAUGCUUAAAAACAUAUAAAUUAAAAUCCACAGUCCAAACAAAAAGUCUCUUUUAUGGCAUUAUCAUUCUGGUUCAAUACUGCAUCUCUACCACCCUUCCAAUUCCAUAACCAAUAGUUAGUCAUGUUUCCAUGCGCAACCUGACCAAUGGUUAGUCAUAGUUUAAUUAUCCUGUGCUUUUUCAUCUUAGAAAUGAAGCAAAGUAAGAGCAAAACAAAUUUUAAUUCAUGCUAUGCAAUUUGAAAAACAUAUGAUAAUUGUUUUGGCCUACCAAUUAAAAAAUGAAGCUCUAAAUAAAAUUUUUAAUUAAUUCAAACAAAAUUAUGGCCUACCAAAACAGCUACAGUAAUAUGGUUUUUCUUUUUAAAAUCAAUAAUUCAUUCCAAAGAUAAAACUUUGAUAGGUCCUAAGACAUUUAUUAGAAAAAAUAAAGGAGUUUUAACUUUAGAUAGGUCUAAGAAUACAGGAUCUCCGAAUUUCAUAAAAUCUUGGAAUAAUUAAAAACAAAUAAAAUAAAAUAAAGGCAUAAAAAAAAUGAAAUUUGAAUUUUAUUUUACUAUAUCUAAUUCCAUAUUGAACUCUAUAUUCUUUCAAGCAUGUGAUCAUUUUAAAAUAUAUCUAUAUAUUUUUUUCCACUAAUUCUACUAAAUAUUUUAACCUUCAAUAAACACCAAAGACAAAGAAGGCAUACCUUAUGGGGUAGAGUUGGAAACUAGAGAUAUCUUCAUCUUUUUUGGUUGGAUUCACUGCAUCAUAACAUUUUUAUUUUAUUGUAAUGACUAAAUAAGAAAAUAUAGAUAUAAACUCAAAAGCAUAUAAGUUACAUGUUUCAAACAAUCUUGAUAUGGCCUUAAAGGAGUGGCCGAGUCAGAUAAGUAGGCUGCAAAGUAACUUUUUUGUUUUUAUUUUUGAAUCAUGAAUUAUAAUAAACAUACAAAUUUUUUAAUAUUUCAUGAAGUGCUUUAUCAUUUAACAAAAUAAGUGAUUAUUGAUAUUAGUUAUGAAAGAAAAAAUAUAUAAAAUAAAAAAUGAAACAAUGAAAUGGAUAAAGAAAAGUUUUAAUUAUUGAUAUUAUUUAUGAAAGAAAAAAACUUAGAAAUAAUUAAAUUGAUAAAAAUUUUAUUUAAAUUUUUUUUCUAACAAUAUAAUAUAAAUGUAGCACCAUCGUUAUCAAUAGUAAAUUGGUAGUAAAAAUCUUAAAGUCAACCAAAGCAACCUACCAUAAAAAAUUAUUUAAUAAAAUAUAAAUUAUUUAAAUAAACUUAAAUUUUAUCAACAAUUAAAUAGAAUAUAAUCUAAAUAAUCUAUCUACUUGAAUAAGUCCUAAUUUUUAUUUUUAUUUUUAAAAAAGAGUUUUUAACUUUCAGACAAACCGAAACUGCGGGAUCCAAAAAUCUCCUAAAAUUUUGGGAUAAUUAAGAACACGUGAUUAAAAUAAAAUCAUGAAAAUAUAUAUAUCAGCUGGGUUAUGAUUUCAAAUGUUAUCUAGAUAUUUCAUUUUUCACUAAUUCCAUCUAAUAAAUAUUUUAUUCAUUAGUGAAUGAAAAAAGAAGAGAGAGAACACAUACCUUGCUAGAGGUUAAAGAAACCCUUCAUCCUUUCGAAACUAGAGAAUUUUUUUCUUGGAUGAGUGAUCUUCUCUAUUAGCAGGCCUUUUUCUCGACGGCUGAGGCCAAUGCUUCUGAUCUUGGGCGUAUAUGAGAUGUAUCCCACAACUUUUCACUUUAAAGGAUGCGUUUUCGCCACAUGUAAAAGAGGCAUUACCGACAGGAUUGUCAAAGUGAGCCUUGAAGUUGUUCCACUUUCUGGAUCGAUACUUGCUUGGAAUGCCAAUCUGAGGGAAAUACGUCACCCACAGUGCUGGAUCUGAUGUGCUACCACUGUCGUAGCGUGUGCUGCCAUAUGAUAAACCGCUAAUAGAGUAUGUUUUACAAUGAGGAUGAAAACCAAUAUCAUCCAGUCGUUUAGAUUGAUCACCAUGGGAUAUCGCCAAUUUACAAUGUGGAAUAAAACCAGAUGUUCUCACGCAUUCAUCAUCAUCAUCAAGGGGAACAUGAUGGAAGAAUAAAACAAAUCCUAACAAGUUAUUAUCUUCAUACCAAUUCAUUGGAAGCUCUACACUUACUUCACAUCCCAUUCUUUGAUGACUUACCCACUCUGGUAUUCCACUACUUCCUGGAAUGAUAAUAUUAAAUUUCUGCUGCAGAAAAAAAAUGUCAUGUAAAUCUCAUGCUUUUUAAAAAAAAAAGAAAGAAAAGGGGAUAAUUAUGCCAUGAAAAUGAUACCUGAAUUGGUGAUUUCAAGUGUUUGAGCAAAGAAGACCAGAGUAGACUUGAAGAAGUUUCAGUUUCCAGGCUUGGACAACCAUGUGCCUCUAUCCAUCCAAGACUUGAUGGAAGCUCUCCAAUUACUUCAAGCAUCGGACAAUGAUUAAUGAGAAGGGUACGAAGCUUACAAAGUUGAGUGAUGCCAGCAGGGAUGCAACGCAUACGGUUUUCACUUAUGUUUAAAAAUACCAGUAAGGAUAGGCACCAUAAAUCACUGGGGAUUUCUUCUUCCAUCAGAUUGCAACCACCUAGAUCUAGCAUUGUUAAGCAACAUUGUAGGCUUCUCAAAUUGUCAGGCAAGUUGUGGAGCUUUGGACAGUUACGAACAUGAAGACUAGUGAGACAUGUCAAAUUACCGAUGCUAUUGGGAAGAGCCACAAGGUUCUCACAAUUGAUCAAUUCCAAGGAUUUAAGACCUCUCAGAUGUUCAAUUGAUGAUGGCAGCUCUGAGAUACCCGUCUCACGUAAAAAAAGGCGUUCUAAUUGUUCCAUAUCCUCCGUGAUCUCUGAAAAAGCCUCUAGAUUUGAACAACCAUUGAGAGAGAGGCCUUCGAGGGAUUUCAACUCACAUAUACUGUUUGGAAGACUUUUCAAGUUUUUACAAUUGUCCAAAUUUAAGUGAUCAAGUCUGGUGAGAUGACCUACUGAGUAGGGUAAUCCUUCAAUAGCAGUCUCAUCUAGAAAAAGAGCCCAUAGAUUCCCCAUAUUUUUUUGGAUCUCAGGAAACCUCUCAAGAUUUGAGCAACCACUGAGAGUAAGACUUUCAAGGGCCUGCAAGCGCCCAAUGCUAUUUGGGAGUUCCUUAAUAGCGGUAUUCUCUAAAGAAAGCUCCUUCAAGCAUUUCAUAUUCCCUUGGAUCUCUGGAAAUUUCUCAAAGUUUGAGCAAUAUGAGAGGUUAAGAUUUUCAAGAGAUUCCAAAUACCCAAUGCUCCCUGGGAGUUCCUUAAUACCACUCCUAUGUAGACAUAGCUCCCUUAAACGUCCCAUAUUGGUAAAUACAUCUGAAAAUUUCUCAAACUUCAAACAUUUUUCAAGAGAAAGAAUUUCAAGAGAUGUCAAGGACCCAAUGCUGUUUGGGAGUUCCUGAAUAGCAGUCUUCCUUAAAUAAAGGUUCUUCAAGCAUUUCAUAUUCCCUUGGAUCUCUGGGAAUUUCUCAAAUUUUGAGCAACAUGAGAUGUCAAGAAUUUCAAGAGAUUCCAAAUACCCAAUGCUGCUUGGGAGUUCUUUAAUACCACUCUUACGUAAAUGAAGCCUCCUUAAAUGUCCCAUAUAGGUAAAUGUAUCCGGAAAAUUCUCAAACUUUGGACAUCCUUCUAAAUAAAGCUCCCUCAAAAAUUUCAUAUUCCCAUGGAUCUUAGGAAAUUUCUCGAAGUUUGAACAAUUUGAGAGAUUAAGGACUUCAAGAGAUGCUAAAUACACAAUGCUACUUGGUAGUUCUUGGAUCCCACUCUCGUUUAAAUAAAGCUCCUUCAAACAUUCCAUAUUCCCAUGGAUCUCAGGAAACUUCUUCAAGUUUGGACAACAAUUAAGAUAAAGAACUUCAAGAGAUUCAAACUUCAUGCUGGAUGGGAAACUUCGGAGUUGUUCACAUCCUGCUAAAUUCAAGUAAGUCAAACUUUUGAGAUCGCCAAUAGAUGAAUGAAGUUCACACAAGCUUGUACAACCUUCAAGAUUCAGUCUCUCCAAAUUCGGCAUGCUUGAGAAUUUUGGCAUUUUGACCAACUGUUUUGAGUUACUUAGAUCAAUGCCCUUUAAUUCUUCAAGACACUGUAAUAGAAGACAUUUUGUUAAUAAAUAAAAUAAAAUUUCUUUAACUUGAAUAUUAUUAUAAAGAAAAAAAAUAUUAAAUAAUGAUCAUACCUUAUUCCCUUUCCAAAGUUGUUUUAUGUUGCUAGACUUCAAGUUGAUUUCAAUAAGGUGCUUUCCAUAAAAGUUCCAAGGUAAAGAUGUCAAAGUGCAUCUUUGCCAAUGAAGAUAUCUCAAAUCAUGAGGAAAUUGAAAGUCUUUAGGAAGAAGCACUUUAUACUUCUCUCUCGUCAAACCAUCAUGAUCAUUGCAAUAGAUUUUAAGCAACCUAAGUUUCUUCAUCUUGGAAAACACUUUUGUAUUGAACUGUAUUUCUCUUGAUCUAGACAAGUCCAAAGAUAUGGUUUGAAUAUUUUGCAUCUCCUGUAAAACAAUAAGGAAAAAUAAGGGAAGAACACAAGAUAAAAAUCCUAACUACCAUUAUAUAGACAAUUAACCACUAAAAAAUCAAUUAUACACAUUUAAAUAAAUAUUUAGGCAUUUAAUUCGUACCUCUUGUCUAGAAAAUGCAUCAUAAAUAUCAUCUACAUCCCACAAUCUACUCCAUUUGCAGGGGUCUCCAGGACAUUCUUCACGAACAAUUGCCCAACCCAUUUCGUGUAUCAAGUCAUGCAUUUGUAUCAUGUUGUCUGAGAUAGUUACUAGACAUCUAUCAUGGAGAACUCUUAUGUUGCAUGUUGCAAAUAAAUUGCAACCAUCUAAUAUUCUUGACACAAAAUCUUUGCAUUCACCUUUGAAAAAACACGCAAUGUCCAAGAAAACCUCCUUUUGAGAAGGAUCAAGCCCAUCAAAACUUAUUCUAAGCACAUCAUUAAUUUCCUUCAUAGGGUUUUUUUUCAAUUUAUCCGAUGCGCUUUUCCAUUCAUCUAUUGUCAUGCCUUGAAGAGAAGAACCUACAACUUUAAGGGCCAAAGGGAGACCUUGAGCAUAUUGAACCAUGCAAUUUGAGAGGUCUACAUAAUCUUCCUUAGGAACAUUUUGUUUAAAGGCAUGUUGGCUGAAGAGUUGAAGAGCUUCCUCAUAAUGUAAUGCUGUAGCCUUAUGUGAUAUAGUCACUCCAUACUCAACCAACAGAUGUUGGUCUCUGGUUGUAAUGAUAAUUGUACUUCCUGGACCAAACCAUUUAGGACUUCCAGCCACUGACUCUAAUUGCUGCAACCGAUCCACAUCAUCAAUUACAAUAAGAACCUUUUUUGAGCGAAGUCUGGACUUGAUUAUAUUGACGCCUUUAUUGAUAUUGCUAAACUCUACAUCAUUCCCCACUGUAUCAUGUAGAAGUUGUUGUUGUAGUUGAAGUUGAUAACCCUUGUUGAAUGUCUCUCUGACAUCUUGAAGAAAGCUUGCACCAGUGAAUUGAUAUUGGAUCUCAUUAUAAACAAUCUUGGCAAUGGUAGUUUUACCAAUUCCACCAGGUCCAUAGAUCCCAACCAUACGAAUGUCAUUCAAGUCACUACUUAACAAUGAUUUUAGUUCUUUUAAGCGAAAAUCCAUCCCAACUAUAUCAUCGUUAAUGUGCAAAAGCUUAGAAUUCAUUGAUCUUCUAAAAAUCUGGUUAAUAAUUUCCUUAAUAUGCUUUGACUCAUACCUGCCAAUUAUAAAGUACAAUUUAACACUUCAUGAGUCAUAAUGAAUUGCAAAGCAUAAGAAAUAUAAAGUAAAUUUAGUGAUAUUUACUUGAUUUUGUCCAUAUAACAAAAGUAAUAGGAUGUAAAAAGUAUUAAAAGAACCCAAUAUAUUGAGCAUUUUACAGAUAAUGAGAAGGCAACAAGUUUUGAGCCUAGUGUUAAUAAGAUCGCAAAGCAAGCUUUACUAUACAAAAUUAUUAACUUGUUAAUUCAUGAUUUAAGACAACUAAAUCCUUACAACUUAAUUAAAUCAAAAGCACAAAUUAAGGAAGUUGAAGUUACCCAUCAUUCACAUGGAAACCACUUAGAUUGCUUGCUUCAGUCAAGGAAUCCCUCCACCUUUGCACCUUUUUCGCAUCUACAUUUCUUUCAUGAAUGGAAAAUGCCUCUCCGAAGCUCCCUGUUUGCUUUCGCACAUCACAAGGAUCCAAGUGGUAGAACACCGGAAAGACUAUUUGUUCCAUUUCUUCCCUGCACUCCAUGAUCUUCGCUAACUCAUCCAAACACCACUUGGAAUGAGCAUAGUUUUUUGAGAACACCACUAUGGAAAUUCUUGAUUCUUCAAUAGUUUUCAAAAGUUCUGAUUUGAUCUCCUCUCCUCUUUCAAGUUGAUCGUCUCUGAAAGUCUUAAUCCCCAUCCCAUGCAAAUUUACGAAUAAAUGAUCCGUAAAAUUGUUGCGGGUGUCUUCACCUCUAAAACUCAAGAACACUUCGAACUCAUAUUUACGGACUGAGGUAGAAGAAGAGGGUUUUUGGGUAGAGGAAGCCAUUGUUGGACAGUUUCUGGAUGAAAGCUUAGAGAGAGUUGAGAAAGAACUUGUGCAAAACUCACUUCGAUAUGAAGCAAAAUUCACUUCGAUAUGAAGCAAAACUCUUUUUUUUUUUUUUUUGUUGUUGUUUUGUGGUUGAAUUGUAAAAUUUUAAAAAUAUAUGCAAGUAGGUGAUCCUGGAUGUGAUUUGUCAGUUAAAUGUCAACGAGUAAUGUGAUUUGUCCUUCUUUAAAAAAAUAUAAAGAAGGACCCACCCAUCAUAAAACCCGUAAAAGCCUUACAAUAAAAUUUUAGUCUUCGGUAUUAUGGCCAUUGGCGCUUUCUUUGUCCUAAAUUUUAACUUAAAUUCAAUUAAUUUUAAUUAUUUUAUUUUUAUACUCUAUUUAAUAUAUUAUUAAAGAUAUAAAAAUAUCAUAAUAAUCUUAUCAAAGUCUUUCUUUAUUAAAAAAAAAAUAAACUUUGGGUAUAAAAUUGUUAAUAUUUUUAAACAUAAAAAUAUAUGCAUAUAUCAUUAUUUUUUUUACAUUUUAAACAAAGAUCAUCAUUUUACUAUGAAUAAAAAUUUACUUAUUAUGAAAAUGUAAAAACCAUAAUAAUGAAUUAAUGAAAUAAUCUUUUAUGUUUUUUGUAUGAGGGAGUUUAAAUGAGGGCCUAAAGACUUAUUCUUAUUAAACUUAUGAAGAAAUUUUUUUACUGUUUCAAUGAACUAAGCAGUUUCCUUCUAGAAGUUGUUCUUUUUUUAAUUUGCGUUGAACUUAGGAAAAGAAUGCUUUAGAGUUUUUGGUUGUAUUAGAAACUGUUCUUUUCUUUUGGGUCCCCUCACCAAACGGGCAUUGAAGGAUAAUAUCUGUAUUCAGAGGUGAAUUGAGGCACUUGAUCCCGCCCCUUAGAUUUUCAUCUCCUAAUUUGGCUCCUUGAUUGCAAAUCCCUUUGCGACAUUUUUUCAAAAAGAGAAUAUGUUACUUUAUUCUAUUUGAUCAAUUCAAUGGCCAUUUGGACCUAUUUUUGGUGUCUACAAGAUGUCCAAACACUAGGAGACAACAUGUGCAUGUCAUUGUUAACCUAGUUGGAGCUUGAAAUUGUUUUCUAUUGACGAGUCAGGCUUGGGUUGCGGUGGACCUUGGCAUGAUUUGACGCUUAUUCUAAUCCAAGUUGGGCCGUAAUUUAACAAACUGGACUGAGGGCUUGAGCACUUUGUGGGAUUGAGGAAAUCUUCUUGGGGAAGUGGACCUUGAAGCUUGAAACAUCAAUGUCAACAAUUUGGAGACGUUCUAUGUACUAGAUGCUUAAUAUGAGUCAUCAAAGAAGUUUUGAUGAAGAUUCAAAGACAUCCAUGAAAGCUUGUUUUUUUGGCCUUCUUCAAGUGUAUAAUAAGCUUCGCUUUUGCUGGCCAAACUCUUUAAUAAAAUACGAUUUGCCGGCCAAACUCUUUAAUAAAAUGAGACAUUUGCUUACCAUGUCUUGUUUAUUUCUUUUAUUGUAUAUCCUAUCAUAGCUCAUGGUCGAGAACUAGUUGACCUAGUUUGUCAAAGCUAAUAAAUUAUUUUUAUAUAUUUCUUCAAACUUAUUUUACUUAUUUUCAUUUAUUAUAUAAAGAUUAAAUAAUUUUAAAAUGUACAAUUUUUUAACUAAUUUUAAUUAUAUUAAAUUUUCUUUAGUGUCUUCCAUGGUAAAACCAUACAGGAGAAAACCAUUUUCUUUGCAAUUUUUUUUUCUUUCCUUAAUAUUUUUCAGGAACUAAACAUAGCCAUAAUGAUUAUUCCGAACCCUAGAGGUUUAGUGAUUUGAUCACAACUAAUAUUAAGAUAAACAAGUAAUUAACUCACGAGUCUAAUAGAAUCCAUAAUAGUAAGUGGUAGAGUCUUUGGUCAUGUUUAUAUAUAUCUUGGAUUUGAUCAAUUUCUUUAAAUUUUUUGUUGAUUAUGAAUCUAAAUAUGAGGGUUGAAGCAUAAAUUUAACAAGGGAAUUGAAUAUAUUAAUGAUUCAAUUAUGAUCAAAAUAUAUAUUAAGAAGAUUGGACUGAAUUUAUUUUCCUUUUAUUAAUCUUAAAAAUCGUGACAACUUGAAGAAUAUAGUGGUAGGUGAUGGGAUAUGUACAAGAUGCUAAGUAUGAGUCAUGUGAUUUACUAUUUGAAAUUGAUGGUAUAUGGAUUUCACUACAUUAAAGUAGAUAAAAUAUUGUAGUUGAUGAUCAUCUUAAAGUUAAUUUAAUCUAAUAAACUAAGUAACUUAUUUAAAAUUUUCUUGCUUAAAUUAAGUUGGGAUUUUGAGUGUUUUUGAAAUGGUACCAUUUUAGUAUAUAGCUAAAAAAAAUUUUAACUUAAAUAAUAUUUACUGUGUAAUGAAAAUGAAGUAUAUAGCUACUAAAAUUUUGGAAAUAGCAAAAAGUAGAAGAGAUUAUGUUGAAAUCUAGUAAGAAUCUUAAUUUAUGAAGUUUCUAGUUGUGAAUACCUUUUUUAUUUGAACUUAAGUUAGGGUUACAUAAGGAUGGCGACGGGAUGGGUUCGGGACGGGUCGCCUUCAUCCCAACCUCACUCCAUUUAUUCAAAAUAAUUCUCAUCCUUGUCUCAUUUAAAAAAUUAAACGGGGUGGGAUGGGUAUGAGAAUUCUCAUACCCACCCUGCCUCUUUUAAGUUUUUUUUUUUUUUUUUUUUAAUUUUUAAGAUUACUUUUAAAAUUUUUUAAUUACAUUAAAAUAAAUAUAUUUUAUAAAUAAUUAAAUUAUUAUAUUUUUUAUAAGUUAUUUUAUUAAAAAAUAUUUUAUUAUUAUCUAUAUAUUAAAAAUAGUAAAAAAAUAAUUUAUUUAAUUUUAAAAAUUAAUUUUAUAUAUAAUCGGGGCAGGACGAUACGAGAUAAGACAAUACUCGAACUCAACCCAGGUUUUAAAAAAAUUAUCAAACCCGUUCCAAACUCAUUUAGUUAAAAUCAAACCCGUCCCAUUAGGGGUAAGGUGGGACGGGUACCCAAAAAAACCCACCCCAUUGUCAUUCCUAGGGUUAUGAGUGGUUGUAGGCCAGGGUAAUAAUAUGUUAGCAUAUAAAUACUAGAUUCUUGUUUGAAAUUCAAUAUUAUUUAUUAUGUGAUGACAAAGUUAAGCAUGUAGAAGUAUCCUUGCACUAAAAUUUAAUUUGAUUGACUAAUUUGAAAUUUUAAUGUUGAAUUGAUUAUACAACAAAUAAUUUUAAGAAUAUGUAAAAAAUAUGGGAGAUUAUAUCCAAAAAAAAUUUAUUCCUUUUCAUUUUUGUUUUAUUUUGAUUUUUUUUUUUUUUUUUUUAUUCAUGGGAGAAGAUGUUAGAGCUCCAAUACAAGCCGGUAGCAGAGGGAGUAUGGCAAUGACUAAGGUGGAAAUUUGUAAGAAAAAAUUUGAGGCAAAGAUCAAAAUAUAUAAGGGGCCUUGGUUUUUGGCCAUAAACCAUUUGAGUUUUCUAGAUCACCAUCAUCUUGCCAACAUGAGGUAGAGUUGGAGCAUGGACUUGCGGAGACUCAACAACAAUAGCUUGAUAUCCAAUAUGAGCUAGUUAAUUUACCAAUUGGAAGCAAACGAAAUCAAUAGCAUCAACCAUUUGAAGAGAUUUUACGUCAUCUACGAUUUAGCCAAGGAUCCUCAUGAUCCAUCACGAUGUAGCCAACAAAAUCAAUAACAUCAACAAGAAGUCGGAGCAUAGAUUUUUUCUGUGACAUUAACUAUUCGUUUUGGGUGAGAAUAGGACCAAACAAGCCCCAGUUAGACAUGAAAUCAAUAUUGGGAGCCAUAUUAUUGAAACAUUAAAAUGCACCACAAAUAUAGCUUAAUUCUUACAUGGUUCCGUUAUCAAGUCCUAAAUCAAUAUAUAUUUUCUAGAGGCUGGAGGCAAAUAGGGAAGCCCUUUGCUGGAAUGGGAGAUGGAUUAUAAGAAAUCUUUUCGUUUGGAUCUACUCUCUCCCAUUUGAAUUUCGUCACAAUAUUAUGUAUGAAAACAAGUACUUGAGCUCGAGCAUAUUCCCUUCCUGGGCACAUCCGAGGUCCUUCCCCAAAGGGUACAAAAGUGAAUGGUUCAGGUUCUCUUCCUUCAAAUCUCGAGGGAUCAAAUUUCUCAGGAUCUGGUAAGUAUUUGGUAUUUCUGUGUGUUGUAUUCACGUUCCAAUGUGUCUACAAGACAUAAAAAUUUGCAGCAAUUCAUGACUAUAUAACACAGAACUUAAUUUCUUUAAUGGAAGCAUAUUUAUGGCAAAUUAAUGUACCUACCUUCCAUCCCUUUGGAAUAGUAAAACCUGCGUAAGUGAAGUUUUUAAUGACUUCCCUAAAGGCUCCUUGAACAGGUGGCGUUAGCCUCAUUGUUUCAUUUGCCACAUUCCAAGAAUAUCUCAUCUUUUGAAUGUCAUCCCAGUUCAGAUAUUCUUCUGAGCCCUUGCUCUUUUGCGAUCUCCAUUUGUUCUAUUUGAUCAAAGAAGUCAAAUCUUAAAUUAGGUAACGUCACAAUCCAUAGCUAUUAGGCAAUCUAAUGCCAUUGAACAUAAACUAACCACUAAAGUGGUUGAUGCAUCAUGUCCUGAUCAUAUUUCUACUGAUGACUGUGCCAGCACUGGCAAGUUUUCUGUACCUUCUCUCUGGGUUAGCACUUCUUUGCCUUGAAUUAGGGCAUUUUUGCCCAAGUAUAGAAGUUUGAGAAAAGAAAAAAAAUCUCGUUCUCCUCAAAGUAUUUCUAAAAUUAUAGCGGUUUAUGGCAAGUGGAAUAACAUGGUAUUCACAUUUUAAAUGGACAAAUUCCAUGUAAGAAUAGCUCAUUGUGGUGUAACUCAUUUUUUGAAAAGUCUUUUUACAUUAAAUUUACCUUUUAAAAAGAGGAGUUCAUUGAACUUGUUUUUGAAAAUUUGAAUUCAAUAUUUUUACAUUGAACUUGUCUUUACAAAAAAUAGGUUUAGUAUAAUUGACAUGUCUUUUCAUUGUGGUGUAACUCAUUUUUGAAAAUAUGAAUUUAGUCUUUUUACAUUAAAUUUAUCUUUUAAAAAAAGGAGUUUAUUGAAUUGCUUUUUUUAAAUUUGAAUUCAAUAUUUUUACAUUGAACUUGUCUUUACAAAAAAAUGGUUUAGUAUGAUUAACAUGUCUUUUCAUUGUGGUGUAACUCAUUUUUGAAAAUACGAAUUUAGUCUUUUUACAUUAAAUUUAUCUUUUAAAAAAAGGAGUUUAUUGAACUGGUUUUUUUAAAUUUGAAUUCGAUAUUUUUACAUUGAACUUGUCUUUACAAAAAAUGGGUUUAGUAUGAUUAACAUGUCUUUUCAUUGUGGUGUAACUCAUUUUUGAAAAUACGAAUUUAGUCUUUUUACAUUAAAUUUAUCUUUUAAAAAAAGGAGUUUAUUAAACUGGUUUUUUUUUUAAAUUUGAAGUCGGUAUUUUUAUAUUGAACUUGUCUUUACAAAAGACAGGUUUAGUAUAAUUAACAUAUCUUUUUCAUCAUGGUGUAAUCCAUCUUUGAAAAUAUGAAUUUAAUCUUUUUACAUUAAAUUUAUCUUUUAAAGAAAAGAAGUUAAUUGAACUUGUUUUUUAAAUUUUGAAUUCAAUAUUUUUGCAUUGAACUUGUAUUUACAAAAGGUAGGUUUGAUAUAAUUAACAUGCAUGUUUUUUCAUUGUGGUAUAACUCAUUUUUUAAAAUAUGAAUUUAGUCUUUUUGCAUUAAAAUUAUCUUUUAAAGAAAGAAGUUUAUUGAACUUGUUUUUUAAAAUUCGAGUUCCGUAUGUUUAUAUUUAACUUGUCUUUUGAAUUGGAGAGUUUAUUUCAGCAAUCACAUGGAAGGUGGGUGGGGUAGGCACGUGCAUGAAUUAAUGUACAGUUUACUUGAGCGUGCAUGCACUAAAAUUUCGCCAAAAAUGGACGAAAUUUUGGAAAAAUAUCGGCAUUUUAGGAGCCACCAGCCAAAACCAUAUAUAAUGGAGAGGAUAAUUAUGUGUAUGUAUUUUGAUGUGGUAAGAAUUUCCAAGUAGUUAUAUGUGCCUCGACUGAUUAAUUUUAUGAGUUAUAUAUGUAGUCUAAAGUUCCUAUUAAUAUGAAUAGAAAGAAAUUAAUACUGCAUGUGACCACACCUACCCGCCUUGCAUGCCAACGCUCAAAUAAAUUUUCCAUGACAUCCUGCAUGUGACUAUUGUAGCUACCUUGCAUGUAAAUACUCAAACAAACUCUCUACUCAACAAAAAUUUUAGUGAAAUGGUCAGGCUUUGUAACAUGAUGGUAUAUAUACAUUCUUGUCCUUUGUGUUUUAUUUCUUUUUUAAUUAUGUUAUAAAGUGUUACAUCAGUUACCUUUGAAGCUUGUUACGCCAAGUUCCUCAUAUACAUUAUAGGUUAGCUAAAUGAUAUCUUGUAUCCUACAAGGAUUUUUAAGUAGUUAUAUUUAUUUGAGUAAGAAUGCGUUUGAUAGUAAUUCUAAAAAAUAUUUCUAAUUUUUUUAAUAUUUAAACUUUUUUAUCUUUUAAGUAUUAAAAAGAUUAAAAACACAUUUUUAAAUCACUACCAAACACACUCUAUAUUAGAUAUCUGUACUCAAAGUUCUUAUUGAGAUAAAUAGAAAGUAAUUAAUCCUACGUGUAACUACUAAUACCCUAACUCUCCAUUAAAUAUUGUAUGUGACCACUCCCAUCCACCUUACAUGUGAAUGGUUAAAUAAACUCUUCGUUAAAUGAUACCAUAUAUAGAUCACCAAAGAAUAAAAAAGGAAAAGAAAAAAGAAAAAAUAAAAAAUAACCCAACACAUGAAAGGAGCUUACAUGAGAGUGAUGCGCUCAAGAAGUUUUUAUGCAUGCAGGUGUAGACAUGAGAGUAGGUGAAAGAGUAGUAUCAUAUUAUCAUAUCCAAUAUUUUUAAAAUUUACCCGAAUCUGCUAAUUGGUUGAACCAUCAAUCCAUCAAGUGUUGGACCUUUUAACCCAAUUCUUGGAACUGUUGUACCAAUAGAAGGCUCAACAUAAAUAUGUUAGUUUAAGAACACAAAAAAAAUAAUUUACACAAAGGAACACAAUCUUUUAAUGCGGUUUGAUCAAUUUUACAUAUAUCUUUAAAUGAGAAAGAAUUAUUUUACUAUAACAUAAAGAAUAUCAUAGAGAAUAAAAACUAAUUACAAUUAUUAAGUUUUAAAACUAUCAUAUAUUUAUUCACUCAUUGUAUUUAUACUCCAAAUCAUAAACUCUCUCUCUCCAAUGGGUGUCUUUCAUUUUUUUCUCACAUCUCUAUUCACUUUGUAUAGUAUUUAAGUUUAUCUUCAUCUCAUUAUUAUUUUUGGUCAUGAUCUAGAAUAUUUAUAAAUAUAUUCCUGAUAAGUUUCCUUAUUUAAUAAAGAAGCCUUAAAUUACCAUAAUAUAUCAAGUUAGGAAAUAUUUAAUACACUUUCCAAUAAUCUCUACCUUAAAUCAAAUUCUACUAAUCUUCCAUCUCUCUAUAAUACAUGUUUUCUGUAUCAAUCCCAAUGAGAGAACAAUCAACUUAACCUUUAACAAAAAUUCCUUUUGUCAUCUUCUUACGUGUUUUGUUUUCUUUGGCUCUUCUAAAAAUCUUCAUCCUAAGUGUUGAGACCAAUUUGUUUUAUCAGUGGACACUUCAAUAUAAAAAUGUUAGUUUAAGAACAUAAUGAUAAAAUAAUUCACAUAUAGGAACACGAGGCUUUAAUAUGGUUUGAUCAACCAUGCUUAUAUUCAUAGAUAAAAAAGAAUCAUUUCGCUACACCAUAAAGAAUAUCAUAAAGGAAAAAAAGUAGAUACAACUAUUAAGUUUUUAAAAUAUCCUAUGUUUCCCCACUCCCUUUAUCUACACCUUGAACUACAAGUCCUCUCAUUCUAUUAGAUGUCUCUCAUUCUUCUUCAUAUGUUUAUUCAUCUUGUAUAGUUUUCAUAAGUUUAUCUCCAUCUCAUGACCUUUUUUCUUUAUAUGAUUUAGAUUAUUUACAGAGAUAUUUCUAAUAAUUUUUAUUUUAUUUUAUAAGGAAAUAUAAUUUUAUAAUAAUACACCAAAUAAGAAAAUAUUUUACACAAUAUUCAUGGAGUGUGUUUGAGUGGUUGGAAUUGAACAUGAGUAUUCUUUGAAACCAGAAAAGAAAAAAAGAAAUGGGCUACCACUGCACCCACUCUCCUAUGAUAAUAAUAUUAGUUUAUAUUAUAUAUAUUAAACAUUCUGAAUAAAAAAAUUAAAAAUAAAUAAAUAAUUAACUUGUCCAUGAUUUAUAGCAAAGCAUGGUAAUAUUCGUUUGAUUUCUCCAUAUUUGAUUCAUGCUCCCCACUCCUCACUGUCAUCACGACUUUGACCUCUUCAGUCGUUCCCAACUCUGCUACCUCACAAGCAUUAUUUUUGUUUUGUUGUGGUUGAGAUGAAAACUCUCUUUUCUCUUGAGCCAAGUUGGCUGAGAUUUGUCUCAAAGUAAUGUGAAUAUUGUAGAUGGCUUGAGAUAUUUGAGAAUUAAAUAUCUUCUACUCUGAUCUUUCCCCUCAUUGUUGCAAAAAAUGCUGAAUCAAAGUUUCCAGAUUUGAACUUGAUGAUGCUAAGUUGAUGUUUGAAAUCAUCUGAGGAGCUCCUUAGAGCAUUUCCAAGCUGAUUUCCUUGCUGUAUAUAUAUUGGUUCAUUGGCCCAGUUGAUUGUUUCUCUUGCUGAAAUUGGUUAUUCCUUCUCCAAGACAGGUUUGGAUGUGACUGUUGCCCACAUUAUUUUGAUAUGACAUGCCAUCCUUGUUGCCAUCAAGAUCUCAAUAAUAUGCAUCUUCAAUGAUCAAGCUUAUUUUAUUUUAUUCAUUUUCUAGCACAAUUCUUAGAAUCUAAGCAUUUUCUAUAUAAGAAUUUUUCUCAUUUUCAAGACUGUAUUUUGUUAUUUUUUCUUUUUUUAUUUAAAAAUUGAGCUGCUUAGUAUAAUCUUGACAAAGUCCAUCAAUAUGAUGCAAUCACAAUAUCAAACAAAUUCAGUUGCUUAGGAUAAUCCUGGGAAAGUCCAUCAAUACGAUGAGAUCGCAAUAUCAAACAUCUAAAAUGAAAAGAAAUCUAACACUUCGAGCCAGAGCCUCCCAGUUCAAACUGAUAGCUUGAGAAGAAUAAUUCAAGCCUAUGUUUUCUAUUGGUUGCUUAGCAUUAAAUCCAUUACAAAUUAUGAACGUGGAAACUAACAAUCCCCUAAUCCAAGGAAUUAUUUUAGCAAUGGUUCUUUGUCUUAUUCAAAGGAGAUAAAAUAAAAAAUUUAACACGGAAUAAUAUUCAACCAAACUACCCCUCCACAUGUCCAAGUGGUUGCAAAAUCAAAGGAAUUCCACUACCAAGAUUAUCCAUGUAUUUCAUGAGCUAUAUCACAGUAAUAUUCGUUAGUUAUAUGAGGACUAAAUUUGAAAUCAUGGAAAUAUUAUUUGGCAUUUAGAAUGUCGUACUAUAAUUUGUGUUUAUUACUAUAUCAAAAUAAAAAAAAAUAUUUUUUAAAACAAUUUAUCUAGAAAAGUCUUUAGUUUUUUAAUUUUUAAAAAGUAUUUUUAAAAAUAACUUGCACUAAGAAAUCAAAAUAACUCAUAGUUAGAGAUAAUUGAAAUCAUUUAUAAAUGAGAUUUCAUUUUCAUUAAAAUUAUUUUUUUAUUCUAUUCCCAUCAAGAUUUAAAUUAUCCAAAUAUGGGAAUUAAGUAAAAAAUGAAUGAGAUACUCAUUCCCACAAACAGGCCUUAAAAUUGUGUGAUAACAAUAAAGAUAAAAUUAAUCAAAUAAUUACAUAAAUGGUCAAAUUAGGUGUAUUAAUUCAUAAUAUGGUUGCAAUUAGAAAGUUAUGUUCUAGUUAGGUUAAAUUUCAAAUGAAGUGUGACAAAAGGAUACAAAUGGAUUAAAUUAUUUCCUAAAUUUGAAAACUUUACCCACUAGCAUGAUUAGAUUAGCCUUUUAUGAUACCAUAUUGAAGAUUAUACUAUUAUAAAAGCCUUUGUUAGGCUUAGGUGGUGUUCCUUCUAACUUUUUACUUUUUGUGACUUAUUACUUUUUUAUGAUUUUUUUUUUUAAAUAGAAAAAGCCAAGUCAUUUGAUUUUUUUUGAAUGGUAAAAAGAACAUGUUGGUUUCUUUACUUUUUAAAACUUAAUAAAAUAAAAUAUUAAAAAAAUAAAUAACUUGAUUCUUAACACUAUUUUUAUUUUUUAUUUUUUUUCCUAUGGAACAAAUAUUAUCAUACUCAAUAGAAUGGGCCCAUGGUACCAUAUCGGAUUCAAUCUAUUAUCUAUGAGUUAUCAUAUUCAGUAGAAUGGACCUGUAGUUAUGACACUUGUAUGGCCACAUCCCUUCUAUAUAUAUUUGGUAAUGCUCCAUCAUAUUCACUUGGAUAUAUCAUAAUGUCAUAAGACCAAUUGUCCAUAGUUAUGAUAAAUAUUAUGAUAUAUAUAUAUAUAUUGGAUAGUGGAAAAAGUUUUUGAUACUAUGUAUAUAGUGGACUUUUAUCAAUUAUGUAGAUGUCUUUUAUAGUCGUGAGGGCCAUUAGGCAUAAUGUGGAGUGUACAUGAGAGGGAGCAAGGUCAUCCUAAAUCUGACCUUGGAAUGAGAUUAUGUUUGUCUAACUUUGUAAGUGUUAGGAUUGAGUCUUUAAAAGCAAGACAUGAUAUAACAAAGUUAGAUUUUACUGUCCUUUUGUUGUCCCUUGUAUGCAUUGAUAUUAAUUUCAGUAUUCAAACUCAUAUGAUCACUUGCAUUGUACAUGAUUUAGAUGCAAUAGAAGUUGUACAGAAGAUACAAUUCAUGGGUUUCUUACAAGAUGAUAAGUUGUUCACAAUCAAUUAAUGAAUUUGGGCAAUCCAAUAAAGGUUGUAGUGCACUACCUUCUAAUUAGAGGGAUGACUUAUUUUAAUCAUCAUGAUAAGUUUUCCAUGGUGAGUACAUUAGUAUGUGUGAUUAUACAUUGGAUAGGACUUACGGUGAAUUAUGAUGUAAGGUUAUUAGAUUGUCAUGAUUCACCAAACUUCUAUGUUGCAUGUACUCUCAACCUUGAGAGUAUAUUGAGUCUCUAUUGAAAUCAAUAGGAAGCUUUGACCUAUAGAUGAUACCUUAUUAUGGUCAUAUAUUCCCACGGAUUGAAUCAUUAUUGAUGGAGGCCAAUGACAAGUAUUCUCAAUGGAGACACUAUCAUAUCUCAUGAGAUUAAAACAGUAUGUCCCUUUAUGUGAUCCAAAGGACAUGUGAUCAUGGAAUAUGUGGUCGCAGUAAUUCUUUUAGUAGAAUUUACUCCAUCCACUUAUUUAGGUCUCCCUUUAGGUGCUCUAUGUAAAUCUAUAAUAGUUUAGGAUGGAGUAGAAGAGAGAUUUUAUAAGAGGUUGUCCAUGUAGAAGAGACAAUACAUUUCCAAAUGAGGGAAUAUUAUUUUAAUUUGAAAUACUUUAUCUAUAACUAGCUUGCCCAUUUAUUUUAUGUCUUUGUUCUAUAUCACAAUGGCUAUUAGACUGAGGCUAAAACAAAUUUAGAGGGACUUUUUGUGGGACGUAGGGUGUUAGAUUAUAAACCACAUCUUGUUAAAUGGACAAUUGUUUGCUUAGACAAAAGGAAAGAUGGUUUGGGUGUUAAGAGUCUCUUAAUUCUUAAUAAGACUUUUAUUUGCAAGUGGAGUUGGUGUUUUUCAAAUGAAAAUUGGGCUUUCUAGAAUCAAGUUAUUUGUGGGAAGUAUAGAUAAGAAAAAGGGGGUUUGUCUUCUUAGAAGGUGAGAGAGGGGUGAGGGGUUGUGUUGGGUUGUAGAAAACGGUAAGGAAUUAGGAUUGGGAUCGUAUGAGAACUAGGUAUUCCUUCUUGGUAGGUAAUGGGCGGAGAGUGAAAUUUUAAAAUGAUAAGUGGUAUGAGGGCAAUUUGUUGAGUGUGUCUUUCUCUUCUCUAUUUGCUUUAAGUAAUUCUAAGGAUGUGUGGGUGCAUGGAGGAAGUUUACAAUUACUUAACUGAAAGGAGGAGAGGAGGAAAGGUGAAAUCCUUAUUUUUCUAGACCUUUGCAUGGGAGAUGGAUUGUGUGGAGAGAUUUCUGGCAUGUUAAUUUGCAUGGGAAGAGAGUGUAUAGGGAUGCAGAAAAUACAAUGCUUUGGACAAUGACAAAGAGUGGCAAGUUUAUAGUUAAUUCUCUUUACAAUGCUUUGGAGCUAGACAACUUCGAGUCUUUUCCAAUAAGAGGAAUUUGGCUCUCAUGGGUAUAACCUAGAGUGAGUUCCUAUUUUAUUUUUUAUUUUUUAUUUUUUGUUGAAGGCUACGUAGGUAAAGUUUUAACCUUGGAUCAAGUUCAGAGAUGAGGAUGGUGUUUAGCAAAUAGGUGUUAUUUUUUUCAUUUGUUUGAAGAAUCCAUAGAUCACUUGCUUCUCCAUUGUGAAAAAACAAGGGUUUUAUAGGAGUUGUUUUUUGUAUUUUUUUUUUUGGUAUUUUUGGGUGCUUCAUUUAUUAGUUAAAGAGAUAUCAUUGGGGUGACAUGGUUCUUUUGUGGAAAAAAGUGUGGGAAGGUUUAGAGUGCAAGCCCUUUAUAUUUGUUUUGGAGAUUUAGAAGACAAGGAACAAAAAUGCAUUUGAUGAUGAGGUGUUUUCUUUCAAAAAGCUAAAAAAUGAUUUUUAUUUGGUUUCUUUGGUUAGAGACUAAGUUGUUUAUAUAUGAUUGUCUUUUGACUUUAGUGAGUUACUUUGAUUGGUUGGGCCUUGGUGAGGGUCCAAUUCUUUUGGUUUUUUCUCCUAUUUGAGCCUUGGUGGUGGAAGGAGGUUUGUUUCUUGUAUACCUUAGGACGCUCUUUUGGUGACUCAUUUUAAUUUAAUUUGAUUCUUUAUCUAUCAUUUAAAAAAAAAAAAAAAUCAUAUCAUUCUUGGAGUUAGAAUAUGUCGGUUGAACAUACAAUAGAAAAAUUUACAACUCAAGUAUUAGAGAAGUAAUCUUGAUGGGUUGAUAACAUUACCCUAUUAUUUUAUGGACACCAAUUCAUGGGGUGUCCGUAUGCAAUAGAUUGUAGAUUACAGACUUGAGCUUUGUCUCAUUGCAAUUUCAUAAGAUACUGGCGUGUAGUUAACUCUUUUUAGUAGAGUAUUGAGUUAACUUCAUAAUUGGAAUAUAAAGGAGCCAAUAUUUUCUUAUAGGUCUCAAUGGUUCCCCAUCGAGCUCUUAGUUCAUAGUGGCAUGUUUUGAGGGUAUUUUGGCUAUGCACUUCAUAAGUGUGCAUAAGGGUGUUUUAGUAAGAAUAUAAUAUUGCACUAGAUCUUAUGAAUUGAUUUUCUUAAAUGGGCUAAUUAAUUAAUUGGAACAUGUUAUGGCUAAUUAAUUAAUUAAGACUAAAGCCUAAUUUGGGUUCAAGUCACUUAAACCCACAAAAAAAAAAGCCUAUAUAAACCCCUUAGGGGUUAAGACUUUAUUCUUCUAGUUCGGUUUUCUAAAAUUGCAAUGAGAGGAACCCAAGUCAACCUCAAGAAGAGAGAAAAGCUCACCAUUCUCUCAUGCCAAGCAUCCAUUAUGGGAGAGAUUGGCUGGAAGAUCAUUGGAUAAACUAGUUCUACAACAACCACAACGUUUUCAUCAAAUGGGAUUCUAUCUAGGAACAUUCAGAUCACAAGUUUGAGCUCUUUCUAUGUAAAUCUAGGUUUUUUUUUUUUUUUUGGUUUUUAUACUUAUAGGUUUUUGUUGCUUUUGAUCUAGAGAAGCCAAUGAUAGAUACAUAUAUAUACCCUAUGUGAUCCAGGGUUAAGGAAUAAAGCAAUUUGAGUUUUCUGGUAGUAAGAGGAUGUUUGUCAAUGUUGCUAUGUAGUUAGUUUUUCUUAUUUAUGUAAUUACAUUUUAAAACGAUGAGAAAUUAGGAUAAAUAUGACCAAAUGUAUUUUAUAUGGAAGUGAAUGUUAUAAAUAUGACAAAAUAUAUCCUAUGUUGAUUGGAAAUGAUGUUAUAUCCAAUUAACCAAAUCACGUGUAAUAUAUUUAGCAAUGAUAAAGUAGGUUUGGUGAUGUAAAUAUAAGGCCCCAAUAUUUGGGUUAGGCUCGUUUGGGUUAAGAACCUUUUUGGAUUUUCUUAUUUGGUGGCACAAACUUGACCGUGACAUAUACCAUUAUUCUAACACUAAAGUGGACCACUAAAAUACCCUACAAAGCACUAAUAUUCAACUCACAAGUUAUAGAGUUAUCAUGAUGCAAAAUAAUGCCUAAUAUUUACAAUGCGCUGGUAGUUAAAGGUCGAGAUACUGUCCGUCAACAAAUUAAUGUGACUUGUGAGAUACAACAAUUAUUAGGAAAUAAUACAUUGACUUUUUUUAUUCAAUUGAAAAUUUUAAGAAAUAAAUAAUAAGUUAAUAAAAAAUAAAAAUAAAAAUAAAUGAUCUUAAAUAUAAAAAUAAGUUGCUUUUUUUUAUAAAAAAAAAAAAGUCAAACAAAUAAAGAGACAACACUUGAGUGGUAUAUAAACUCAUUUUUUCAUAGCAUUGGAGGAGUUAUGUAAUAAUUAUUUAGACAUAAAAUUGUUAAAAGGGGAUAUUGCUAGUGAUUUAGAUUAACUACUUUAGUUUGAUAAUCUUAUUCCAAACAAUUCUUCAUCUAAUAUUGUUGCAUAUUUUCUAAGAUUAAUAUAGGUCUUGAAGAUUUAAUUAAGAUCAUCAUCACUUUGUAAACGAGGCCAUCUAGGUAAGUAUGCUUGAGUUAGUUUAGUGAAUGAUAUAAUUAAGAAGUGUAUUUUGGGAAUUAUUACAUAACAUGAGCUUUAUAGGUUUGGAAAAGCAAAUUUGAGGAGUGAUCAAGAGGAUCUUAAGAGCACUCACUAUAAAACAUGUAAGAGUUAAACAUGAAGAUGCAUAUAGAUACUAGCCAAUGUAAAAUCCUCAUGGAAUUGAUAGCUUCUAAUUCAUGUAAAUUUGUGAUUUAUUUUUUCAUAUUAAGUGAAUUUUCUCAACAAUCAAUUGACCAAUGAUAUUUAAUUAAUAUAUAGUUUAUAUAUAUAUGAUCGAUUUUUGUUUUGAAAUUUGAUGUCUCCUAUUGAUCAAAGGAUUAAGAAAAAAAAAAGAAAGAAAAAAAGAAAAAGAAAAAGAAAGAAUCAAUCUCCAUGUGUAAUUUCAAGAAUCAAAAUUAGAACUUCUAAAUGACAAAUAAAACUAAAAACCAAUUUGAUAGUGAUUUUAGGAAGUGUUUCUAACAUUUUUAACACUUAAAAAUUUCUAUCAUUUAAGUAUUAGAAAUGUUAGAAACAUUUUCUAAAAUCAUUACCAAACGUAUUUUAAAUGAGAUUCAACUUAAAUUUGUAUUUCUUGUUGAUGGACGUGCAUGUUAGUAUUUUAUGGUCGGGUGAUGAACUCAUCCCUUAAUUAAAUUUUAAAGAGAACUCUUAUCAUUGGAAGAUAUGGUCUACCAUGAUCUUUGACUUUUCAGGGUUAUAUAUAUUGAAUACUAAAGUAAAAAUUAAUAAAUUGUGGCUAAAGAGACUUAAAUAUGAAUUUCUUGUUGGAUGGACGUGUGAAUGUAAAAAUAACAAGUGUAAUUUCAUUGAUUGGAACAUGUAAUGAAUUAUACAAAUAAUUUAAAUAUUUUUAAUUUUUUUUAAGUCUGGAGAUGAGUCACCCAAAUGAUGACUCUUGAAACAGACCCGUUGGAUGUGAUGUCAAAUGUCAUAAAAUAUUUGAUCUAUCCUUAUUGAUCACCAAUUGAUGAACUCAUCCCUUAAUUAAAUUUUAAAGAGAACUCUUAUCAUUGGAAGAUAUGGUCUACCAUGAUCUUUGACUUUUCAGGGUUAUAUAUAUUGAAUACUAAAGUAAAAAUUAAUAAAUUAUGGCUAAAGAGACUUAAAUAUGAAUUUCUUGUUGGAUGGACGUGUGAAUGUAAAAAUAACAAGUGUAAUUUCAUUGAUUGGAACAUGUAAUGAAUUAUACAAAUAAUUUAAAUAUUUUUAAUUUUUUUUAAGUCUGGAGAUGAGUCACCCAAAUGAUGACUCUUGAAACAGACCCGUUGGAUGUGAUGUCAAAUGUCAUAAAAUAUUUGAUCUAUCCUUAUUGAUCACCAAUUGGUUUUCAAAUGAUAUGGUCAAAACUCAAUCCUAGAGUUGGUAUAUAUAAGAGAUUGUGCAAGAAGCAUCGUAAUUGGGCAAAUUAAAAAUAAUAAUAAUAAUAAGCAAAAGAAUGAAACAAAAGGCUUGGUCCUUCAAGUCAGAAAUUAAUAUUAUUGUGAUAAAAAAACUGAAUGUAAGAAUUAAAAAAUGUGGCGUUGGUGAUUGUGCACAGCCACCCACCACAGCUUUCAGAACUGGUGAGAUGAAAAAUUCAACUAUAUAUGAGAGAUUGCUAUGUCAUGGAUAAAGACUGAUUAUAUAUAAUAUUAAGGGUCAGUAAUCAACUGGCAUGCAAGAAUCAGGCUCUUCAAGAAACUGAGAAAUAGAGGGUUGUAUAUUUUAAACAUUUUCUAAUACUUAGGGUUUGUUUGGUUACCAAAGAAAAUUAAUGAUAUUAAUUUUUGCAAAUUGUGGUCUCAAAAGUAAUGUCAGUACUGGAAAAAAAAAUUAUUUAGGUCUUUUAUAAAUUGGAUUGUUAAAUUCACGUGAACACAUAUGAUGAUCCACAUAGGGAUAUUAGGAAUUUAAAAUAUUUUCUUUAUUUGAAUAUAAAAAUUAAAUUUUAUUCAAAUAAAUCAUUUUAUGCUUAAGAAUAUUUAAAUAAGGCCAUAAAUAUGACUUUCUGAUGAUCCCACGUGAUUGGACUCCAUUUUUCAAUAUAAAUGAUCCUGCUUUUACUCAGAAUUAAGCACUUAAUGUAGGGAGAAAAUGCUUUUACAGUUCAAUAAAAAUUUUGAAAAUGUUGUAGAAGCACUUUUAAAACACAGUUUCUAAGGCAAAUCAACGUAGAAGUAAAAUAACUUUCAUUUCUACUUGGCUUUACUGCUGAUGCAAGAAUCUGAAAGACACCUUAAACAAUGUUAAAUAAAUAUAUUUUUCAUACAAAUUUGUAUGGUAUAUGAUUGAAGAAGUAGAGUAAAGAAGUGUUGUUUGACUGGAAUUCUUAACAGCAAGGUCAGAGCUCUCUACAGGGAGUCAAUGAGGACUUUCCCAACAUUACCUUCUACCUGCUCUCUUCUCUUCUAAUUUCAAUUCUAACCGCUGGAAGAGAUGGGAGUGGUUUGGUGCCGAGGACUCAUCCCCUCACCUCAUCCAAGUUUUUGUUGAGUCCAAACAAAAAUUUAAACACAUGUUCUUUUCCAACAAUUUUCUUAUACUUCUGAGAAUACUUAGUACAACCGAAUUUAUUUUCAUCAAAUAAGUCUAUAUGUUGCCAACGCCUAUUGAGAGCAUUGAUAAAGUAUUGAGUUUUUGAGAGUUCUUCUUGCUUGAGAUCAUUAAGGAUGCCUUUCACCUCAAAUAAUUCCGAAGUGUUCUCUUUAUCCGAAUAAGUUUCCUCAGCAGCGUCCGAGAUUUCCUUGGCCGUCUCAUAAAACAUGAAGUCUUCACCAAUGUUGUUAGUCAUGGAGUUGAUAAGCCAUGACAAAACCAUAUUGUUUUCUGCUUUCCAGAUUUUAUACUUUGGGUCCUCAAAGGGUGGCGCUGUAACAGCUCCGGUGAGAUAAUCAUCUUUGUCUUUUCUGCACACGAACAUCAUCACAGACUUCGACCAUUGGAGAUAAUUUUGGUCAGUGAGUUUAUGUCCAGUUAUGGGAAUAACAACAUUUUCUGAACCGCUAGUAGUGAACCAAACAUUUUCUGGACCGGAAGUGACUUCCAAAGAAGAUGACUCUUGUCUUUCAGUAGUCAUGUACCAUUAGGACUGAUGUAGACCUUUGUUUUGAAACACAAAAAAAAAAGAAAAAAAAAAAAAAAGAGUAGAAUCAAAAUUCUACGAUGCUGGAAAAAUUUAGCAGAAUUUUGAAACCUAAGGAGCCUAAUUUGGCUCUGAUACCAUCAAGAUUUAUAGAGAAAAAAACUUAUUUUAUUUUACUUCAUCAGGGACGGGACGUGAAACAGAAAAAAUAGGAGAGAAUGACUGUAAGACUAUCAGCAAAUCUCCUUGAUACAGGGAAUAAAACUUCAUCCCUAUAAAUCAGGGAUAUACAUGGAAAAAAUGAGAUUUAUAAUAUUUAUUCCUUUAUCUCUUUAUUAACUUGUCAACUGAUCCCUAUAAAAUAGGGAUUUUUAUUCUGAAAUCUUACAUGGUAUGGAAUUCUCAGCACCAAACCACUUUAAGUCUUUUCGAGAGGACAAUUUUGAAGUUAGAAGAGAAGAGAGUAAGCAAAAGGUAAUGUUGGGAAAGUCCUCACGAACUACUGUAGAGAGCUCUGCCCUUGCUGUUCAGAAUUCUAGUCAAACAACAACAAACCGUAAUCACAAAGGAGGAAUGACAGACCUUGGUGCAACCAUUGUCGUAAACUAGGGCAUACAAAGGACCACUACUAGCAGAAUUAUGGCAAACCAACAGACUGGAAAACAGACACUCAACUGGAGAUGGUCAAGGUAUGAUAGCCACAACAUGAGAUACAAAGGAACAACAGAACCAAGAAGUCCACACCUUUCAGCAAAGAACAAGUAGAGAUUAUUCGAAAAUUAAUCUCUCAAACGUCGCUUCUCAAACAAACUCAACAGCAGCAACUUCGGUUGCUCAAAAAGGUAAUUUUUGAAUUGCCUUGAGCUCUCAAAAGGAGAAGAAUAAUCAAUGGAUAAUAGACUCCGGGGUUUCCGACCAUCUAACUGGUAAUACUGAUUUAUUUCACAAUUAUAGCUUGUGUUAUGAGAACUUUAAAGUUUGUAUUACUAAUGAUUCUAUGUCCGAGGUAGCGAGAAUAGGAUCAAUAUGUCUCACUAAAGACUUAAUUCUAAAAUCAGUUUUGUUGGUUCCAAAUCUUACCUGCAAUCUGCUAUAAAUUAGGAAGCUUUCCACAGACUUAAAUUAUUUCACUAACUUUUAUUCUAACACAUUGUGAAUUUUAGGACUUGGAAUAAGGGAGGAUUAUUAGCAAUGCUAAGGAAUGUGCAGGAAUCUAUCUUUUUUAGGUUCUUAAUAGUCCUAAGAAACAAACUCAAAAUUUUUGGAUGUAUGACUUUGUUAAGAUAUAUAAUCAUCAUCGCAGUAAGCUCAAUCUAAAGGCUACCAACUGUCUAUUCCUUAGCUACUCUCCUACAUAAAAAGGGUAGAAGUGUUAUUCACCUAUUACAAGGAAAUUUUAUGUUACUUUGGAUGUCACCUUGUUCGAAAAAACAACCCUUCUACACCAAAAUCCCCAUUUAGGGGGAGGAAAAUAUACAAGAAUGUAAUUUUUGGGUUCAAGAAGAGUUAUCUCCUAAGUUUGAACCAAGUAUUCAUGUCAAUCAACCUCGAGUUGAGCCAUCCAGGCCACUUGAGUCUUCCAAGCCUUUACCUACUCUAUCCACACCCACUCAUACUCAACAUGCAGGAGAAACUAAGUUGCGUAUUUACCUAACAACCUUGAGAGGAUGUAGAGUACCACACUUAACUUGAGUAGAACCAAGAAUCCGAUCUGAAUCCAGAAAGUCCAAGUAAAAUUCAUGAUACUCAAGUUAGUGAUGCUCCUACCGAUCUUGAUAUACCUAUUGCUCUUAAGAAAGUUGUGAGGUUGUGUUCUUGGCACCUAAUCUCUAACUUCAUUUCUUCUGGUAGAUAAUCCCCAUAGUAUUAUGCUUUUGUUACUAAUCUAUCAAAUGUAGAGAUCCCAAAGAGUAUCCAUGAAGCCCUACAACAACCUGAGUGGAGACAAGCAAUUGGUGAUGAAAUCAAGGCUUUAAAGAAGAAUGGAACAUGGGAAUUGUAGGAUUUGCUCAAAGGAAAGCAUCUGGUUGGUUGUAAAUGGAUUUUCACUAUUAAGUUCAAAUCAGAUGGAAGCAUAGAACGAUAUAAAGCUAGACUUGUUGCUAAGGGAUUUGCUCAAAAGUAUAGUAUAUACUAUUAAGAGACAUUUAUUCGUGUAGCCAAACUUAAUACCAUAAGAGUACUAUUGUCACUUGCAAUCAAUCUAGAUUAGCCUUUUCAGCAAUUGGAUGUAAAAAAAAUGUCUUUCUCAAUGGAGACAUGGAAUAUGAAGUCUACAUGAAAAUCUCUUCAAGAUUUAAAAAUAGUGUCAAUACUAGAGAAGUCUACAAGGUUCGAAAGUCUUUAUAUGGACUUAAACAGUCUCUUAGAACAUGGUUUGAUGGGUUCAUAAGGGCUAUGAAGAAUCAUGGGUACACAUAGGGACAUGAUGAUCAUACCUUGUUUAUCAAACAUUCAAAUGAUAGAAAGGUAGCCAUUCUCAUUGUCUAUGUUGAUGAUAAUAUUGUGAUAGGGAUUUAUAUAGAUGAAGUGAGAAGAUUGAAGUGUUGGCUAGGGAGUUUGAAAUUAAGGACCUAGGAACACUAUAAGAACAAAUGGCAAUAAUGACGCUUUUUAGGCGUCAAUAAAUGUAUAAGAUGACGCUUCUUGAAAGCGUCCUUGUCGCCCCUAUCAAGGAAUGGGUGUAGACAACCUUGUCGCUUCUAGAAAGCGUCAUCUAUAAAAGCACUUACAUUGACGCUUAUUCAAGUGUCAUCUUUCCAAAAGCAUGACAUUCUUUAAGUGUCAUUAUUUCCACCAAAUUUUCAAUGUUAACACUUACACUAGCGCCAAGGAAUGUCCAAAAUAUCAUUUGUCUAUUUUGACACUAAAAAAAGUGUCAUCUUAUGUGGAUAAUAAUACUGAAAAUCCCCUUAUUGAAAUGAUAUAUUUUGUAUGUCCUGUUAUAUAUAAUUUUGGCUGCAUGAUUUUUUAUAAAGUACAAAACAAUAACUUCAAUAUUAAUAACUAUAUCUUCCAAAAGAAAUUGAAUAAAUUUGGGAAUAAUAUAAUGAUAAAGAACUAAUGUCUACAUAGUUAAUUAAUACGUAAAUUUGUUAAUGUAUCAAAAUAUUUACAACAAGCAUAUUUUCCAACUUCAACAUAAAUCAAGUACACAUGUACCAAAAAAAAGGUCUCUAAAUUCCUUAUCAAAAAUAAUAUUACAAGAAGAAGAAGAAGCCAAAAGUAUUUUUAGCCAAAGGUAUUCCUGUUGGUUGCAUAUCCAUUCUUGAACUUGAUAUCUUUUACCUAUAUACAUUUAAAAAAAAACAAUAGAAGAAACAAAUUAUGUUUAGUUAAUAUACAUGCAAUGAAAGUUAAAUUUAAAUCUAUAAAUGGUCCAUGAAAGAAGUGCAAAUGAGAAUAACUUGGUAUUUAAUGAGAUGUUAUGCUUCAAUGAAGAUGAAAAAUUGUUUAAUUUGAUACUUGUUUAUAAAAUAUUAAUAGACUUUUUAGUUUAUUAUUAAGUUAGAGGAAACAAGUUAGGCUUUCAAUGGUAUAAAUUCUACAAUAUGGAAUGUAAUAUAAUAUUUUCUUAUCUAUGUCUAACAUAAGAAACUCAUUUCUCAUAAAUAAAUAUAUAAAAAUACCAAUAGGUAUGGUUUAUUAUUAGUUUCAAUCAUAAAUCAUCAUAUCUAGUAAUAUAAGACAUUUAAUAUUAACCAUUUUCAAAUGUCUUAAUUUCUUCUUACAAUUUUCCUAUAUUACCAAAUUUAAUUGACUAAUAACAUUCCAUAAGGAAAAAAAGAGUAUUAAACUAAAAAUCAAUAGAGUAUAAAGAAAAAAAAAAUGAUGACAAAUAGAAUGAAGAAAGAGAAAUCUUUUUCCUAGAAAAUGCCAUGUCAAAUCAAAAUGAGACCAAGGAAGGAAGAUCAUCUCUUUCCACAUCCACUCUACCCCUAUUUCUUUUACAUUUUUAGUUUCUUUGUAUUGAGAAAUUUUGGACUCCUUAUUUUCUCCAACAUUGUUUGGUUUGUAUUUAUGAUGGAAGGACCUCUAUCAUUUUGUGUAAAUAACUUUCCUGUCUAUCAUACUCCUUUUGUUUCUCAUAAAGGAAAAACUUGUUUCUCACCAAGGAAAAGGAAACACAUGUGGUUCAACUAUCUACUAAAAUCAAAUAUUGAUGGUUUUCUUAAUGAAUGGUUUAUUGAAUUUUUUUCAUACUUAACUUAGUAUUUAAUAAGUGGGUACAGGAAAAGGAAUCACAUUCCCUUAGUUUAGAAGUUGGGAAAGCGUAUGGCAGCCUUAGUGGUGACAAUGGUGGUGGUAGAAAGGUGGUUGGAGAUUGAUUGUGUUGUGGGAAUAAGGGUUUGAUGUCAUUCUUGAAGAAAUAUGUACAACAGAAAAUUCAAUGAAAUCUAAAUUAUUACAUAUGGUAGCCUCCAUAACAAAGAGCUAAACUAUCAUAAGAAAAUGACCAUAAAUUUUAAUGAACUAAAGCCUAUACACAAUGGGUGGAACCAAUGAUCCAUAAAUAUGUGUUGAUAGUGGAUAUCUUUCCCUUGAACUAUAAGGAAACAAAGAGCUAAACUAUCACAAGAAAACCAUUAUGCCAAGGGAACAAAAAAGAAUGUGAAAUAUAAAUUAACAUAUAGAAACUCGAUUCCAAAUAUAUAUAUAUAUAUAUUAUCAUGCAUCAUCUGAUAGGUUGAAAAAUUGAGACCUUGUGUUGAAUUUAGAAUAUAACUACCUUGCCCAGAUGAGUAAUGAAUUCACAAUCAUCAACUAGUUGCUUCUUCAGUAUUGGCGAAAUUUGGAUGUUCAUGAGCUUCUCCACUGGUAUGGCUCCUUUCUCCAAACAAUAAAGAAAACACAAACUUAGUUAAGGAAACCUCAAACUGCUUAUGGAAAACCUGGCCAAAUAAAUUCUAAUAAAGAGAAACUCAUCAACUAAGAAGCACUUUCAAGUCUUAUACAUGACAAGUUAGCAUAAAUGUACUUGGUUCCACGCUGAGGGAUUGAACAGAAAGUUAAGCUACAAUGUGAAAUAAGGUCAAUGGAAACAACAAAGAGAUAUUUCUUGUAAGAUCAUUUUUCUCUAAAUGAAUUGAAAAGGCAAACUAUCUCAAGCCUGCUAAGGAUACUAUACCAGGUGGAAAAAAAUAUCAUGAAUUAGGACAAUGGAACCGAAUAGAAUUAAAAAUCCCAGAUGGUAAAACAUCCACCAAAAGUAUCAUCCAUGUAGGAAAUGUUACUUUGCAUCUUAAGAGAACUACAUCUUUUUGCAUUUUCUUUAAAAGAUGAUCUCUCUCAUCUUGGAAGAUCUUCCAGUUAGAAGCUAACAAAUGCUAAUACGUCUUAGGACUUUAGCCAAUUGCAUAUCUUUUAAAUCUAGGGCUAGGCUAAAAGUGUCCAUAGGUGGACCAAAUUAAAUCCAUUAAUAGAAAACCUCCUACACAUGCUAAGAUAAGCAAUCACCUAUCAACAAGAAGGAAGAAAAUAAAGGCAUAAAUUUCAAGACAUCAAAAUAUUGUAUAAUGUAAUUUUACAUGCUACAACAUACCAUAAAAUCCUGCAAACUUUUUGCCACUAGAACUAGGAUAAUGAUCACCAACAGUACACACCCAUAUAUACAAAUACAAAAACUCAAUCGUUCUAUAUUUGCUCUAGGCAAUGACAAUCCAAGAAUGUACCUUAGCAACAGAGUCAUUCUUCCACUUCUUACUUCUUGCAGCUGCACACGUUUUCCAGAAUUAAUAGAUAAGAAGACCAAUACAAAGCAAAACACCUAGAUGAUUGCAAUCAACAACAAAAAUUAUUUUCAAAUAUAAAUAAGAUCAGACACAAUGGAAGUGGUUCACCAUGCCAAUAUGAAAAAAGGAUGACAAUGACUCUUUAAUAGAUAAAGUUGAGCAUAUUUAUUUUAAAAUUAUGGAGAAAACAUGAUUUAAUAAAUAGGAAGAUCAUCUCUACUUGAAUAAUGACUGAAGACAUAAUUAUAAAUCUACCAAAUCUUAAUUGAUCAAUUACCACCCCCAAAACAACACUAAUAAUGGUGACAAAUGAGCAUCAUGUCAAAUUCAAAUCUAUUAAGGCAAUUUUUAAAGCAUGAGCUAACAACUUAUUUGAAUUUUGGUCUCCACAUUUUAGUUAGGGGGUCCCAACAAGAUGAAUAAAGAAUGAUGAAAAAAAAAAUUGCAAACAUUCAUAGAUAAAAAUAAUCCAUAUAGUCAAUUCUAUUUUGCAAUAUCAAUCUCUAAUUCUCCUUUUUGCUAGUAACACCUUAAAAAACAAGCCCAUUAAGCUUUCUAGAAGAUAUGAUUCUUUUCCCAUACCAUGAAUUUUUUCUAUAACAAGCCAAAUUUGUUGAAGGAUGAAAAAAAAAGUACAACCUCCAAACUGAAAAGGAAAAUGAUAAAAAAAAUAAAUAGACUAAAAUAUAAAAGCCUGAGGGGUCAGAGAAGAGGUCAAGUAACAUUUCAAGGUGAAAUCAACCAUUUUGGUUAGAAUAUUUGCUUCUAAUUCAAACCCCAAGCUUUGAUUCCCUGAGCAAUAAUAGAUGAGUGAAUACAUAUUUCUUAGAAGCUUUAACCAUAACAGUUAGUCAGGAUAGAAUAGCAAAGACUAUGUGACCAUAUUUAUUUCUAGUUAUACUUCCGCUGCAAAAUUGUCAUGUGUUCCCAGUGGUUCAACAAUCAAAGAAAGCAUCAAAUUCCCGAUAUGGGCAAACAUCAAAAUCUUAGGGACAGUGGGAUUAAGAGUUUAAGGUAGUGAAUGGUUUUUUUUUUUUUUUUAACCACUAUAACUUUAGAAACAGUAUGGCUCUAUACAGGAGCAGAUGGUGGACUAGUGGUGUAAGUAUAUCUAGGUUAAUCUUUGUUAAGUUUGGAUUUCAGAUCAUUUGCAGCGUGUGAUGGUUCUAAUUUUAUCUUUUUCAUUUUGUAUAAGAGAUAAGAAAUCCCAACUAGGUGUGUGUACUUAACUCUUAUGCCAUUUAUUUAUCUUCAUGAUGUAUACUUAGUUAUUAUGCCAUUUAUUUAUUUAUAUUUUGAUUGGCAUAUCCCUUUUCCAUUUAUAGGAAUCUUUAAGAUAACCUCUUACUUAGGAGAAACUUUUUGUAUUUGAUUGAUUUAUACAUUGAUUUCUUCUUGCAACUUGUUAGACUGCCUCGAGUUCCAAUUGUUGACAAAAUAUUGAAGAAGUAUCUUGAUUAUAGAAUAAAGAGGGAUGGCAUGUAAGUAUAUUUGCCAUGGCUCCUGCCAUUUUGAACUCUCUUCCAACUUCUAAAGGUGAUCAAACAAAGUUGCAAUGAUACUGCCCGAGGUUUGAUGGCAGUUAUUUUUAUUGAUGUAGUAAUAUCAAGAUAAUUUGUGCCGGAAUGUUUACUAUAGUAGGAGGUAGUUCUUGUAAUUUUCACACUAAUAUGGUUUGAAUAGACAAGCAUGCUUACCUAUUCAAUGAUCAGUCUCAACUAUGUACUUAUUGCAUAAAUGAUUGUUAUGGCAAUACAAGCAGUCUCUCUAUAUAGAUGAGUAGUUCACAUGUGAAAUUUUUGAAAGCCAGUAUCUUAAGAUAUGUAGUUAUCAAAGACAAGUUCAAGAAUAUUGUAACUUUUGAAUCCAAAAAAAAAAAAAAAAACUCACACACAAUCUUGACAAGAACAAAAAUAGUCAAUGAGAUGGGAAACCAGACAUCUAUUCAAAACUAGUAAUAGACUUACAUUCUCAAGUCCCAAUGAGCCACAUAUAUAAGCAACACCCCAUACAAAUAAAACAAUUGCUUUCUCUUCCACCAAAAGUGCACUGUGUGCCUGACAUAACCAACAACAACAAAGUCAAAUAAGCUGUAAUGUGGAAUACAUAAAAUAAAAUAUCACAGUUAAAAUUGCAAAAAAUAAAGUUAACUAAAAUCAACAUAUAAAUAAUAAAAUAAAAAAUAAAUAAAGGAUGUUAAUUUACUUAAUCCUUAAAAACUAUGAUAAUCAGAUGAGUAACAGAGCAGAGGCAGUGUUUGUGACAAAAAAAAAAAAAAAAAACUGCUAAAUCACAUCCCUUGUAUGUUGUUAUGAUGUGUUUGAAUUUUGGGUCCUCAUCAUCUUGUUCCUUCUCAAUCAUGUACUUUUGUUUCUUCUUUGUAAACUCGGACUAGUUGGAUAUAUACUAGGAUCUCCUCACAUUUUUUACAACAUUCAAGUGAAUUCUAGUUAAUUUUAUGUGAUAAUUAAACUCAUUUAUGUUUUUUUUUUUAGAUUUAUUUUUUUAUUUUUCUUUUGUUUGUAUGAAACACUUGGAAAUGUUUGAAAAAAAAAAUUCUAAAGUUUGUGGGCCUACUUUUCAAAAGUAGUUAAAUAGAUAUGACAUAUCAAAAUAUCUGGAAAAAAUUAAAAAAACUCAUCAUUUUAUUUGACAAAAUAUAAGUAAUGAAGAAAAUUAGAAUGAGAAAUGAUUCAAACCAUGAAUGAAUUUUUGAAGGAAAAAGCGUUCAAUAAACACAAUGAUAUACUUUAGGUAUUUAUAUAUAUAUAUAUAUAUAUAUAUAUAUAUAUAUAUAUAUAUAUAUAUAUAUUAAUCAAAAUUUAUUGAGAAACUUUUGUGGUCUUGAUUAACACUUGUGAAAAACCAAAAAAAAAAAAAAAAAAAUUCAUCUCUGUAAAGAAAGGAUUCACUCACAAAAAGACCAUUUUUCCAUGGACCUAAACAAAAUCACAACAAAAUUAGUUUAAUGAUUUGAUGUAUAUAAUAAUAACAACAAGAUCACUUUCAUUUCACACAUGCUAGUAACUUGAAAAUUAAUCAAUUCACUUAAGACCCAUGUGUAGGAAAUCAAAAUAAUAUAAAUUAUACCUAGAUAGAGCACUAAAAAAAAUUGAUUUUUUUUAAUAUUUGUAUUUUUUUUCAUUGGUUUCUCAUUUGUGCUUGCUUUUCUAAUUUUUAUUUUUUACAUUCUGUGGUGGAUAUAGGGAAAUACGCAAAACUGACAAAUUACCUAGAUAAUGAUGGCUGUAUAAAUGUUGUUUAAUUUUCUUGUGUAAGAGGAUUAUCCAGAACAAUAAGAAUAUGGGUGGUGGGUAGUGGGAUGUGGGAGGACAACUAAUCUCUUUGCGUUUAUGUGAAAACAAUAUGUUAGAAGCACAUGCAACCUUAGUUUGUUCUAGUCCAAAACACCCUUGUUCAUUCGUUUUUCCUCUUUUGUUUUUAUUUUUGUUUGCCUCUUCCCCGUGUAGUUGUUUAAUCUGCUAAAAACAUUGAGUUUUAACACACAUAGUCAAUAAGAAACACAAUCAUCCCAAAAAUCAUAAGAACACAAAAAAACCCUAAAAUAAAAUAUGAAAACAGGACACAUUGAGAGAAGAGGACUUACCACUCAUAGAUAUGGGAAUGCGACGGUAUACAUCAAUGACACUGGUUCAUAGUGGAAAUUUUCUAGUGGUGACCACUUGUGAAAUUAUUGAAGUCAGAUAAGGCUACUCCAAAGGGUUAGGGCAUUUCAGUGGUGGGAUUUGUAAAUGAGGAAUGGGUUAUGGCUUCUUAGUGCUGGAUUUCACCCUUGCAUAAAGGGUUUCAUAGUACGAAAAGGGUUUCUCCCAACUUGUGACAUCGACAAUUGACAUGUAAGGACCAGAUUCUCUAGAACGAUAUGCUAUGAGUCUUUGGAAGCUUGUCAUUCAAUCAGCAUUGUUCCUUUAGGUAUGAGAUUCAAGCUUCAUUUUUCGGGUUUUUCGAGAUAUGAAAAAUAGAGGGAAUGUUUGGUGGUAACAUAUUGCAGAGAGAAAAAAUUCCAAAGAUAGCCAUAUAUUUAUAGGUAAAAUUCAGUGGCACUUAUAGAAGUGCCGAGGAAAAAUAAUACUAGUUAACAAAACGAUGAUACUUCCAAUAAGCGUCAUUGCAUACAAGGUAAAAGAGAAAAUAGUAUAUCAAACAAUGAUGCUUCCAAUAAGUGUCAUUGUGUACCAUGCUAAAGGGAUAAUAGUAUGUCAAACAAUGACACUUUUAAUAAGCGCCAUAAAAUAAAGCAUAUUAUAUCAAAUAAUGACGUUUUUUAAAAGUAUCAAGAAAUGAAGCGUCAUUAUUUUAAAAUUUUGUAGUAGUGGAACUUUUAAAUAUGUCCUAGGUAUGGAGGUAGCCGGCUUAAAAAAGGAUAUUGUUGUCUCUCAACGAAAGUAUGUACAUACUAAACUUACUAAAGGAAAUAGAGAUGGUAGGGUGCAAGCCUUCAAAUACACCCAUGGAAUCAACCUAUAAAGUCGAACUAAUGAUAAAUAGUCCACUUGUUAACAAAGGGAGAUAUCAAUGCCUUGUGGAUAAACUUAUUUACCUGUCACAUACAUGACUUGACAUGCAUAAGUUUUUCAAUGAGUGUUGGAAGUCAAUACAUGAAUAAUCCGAACGAAAAGCAUUUUGCAAUUGUAUACAAAUUCACUACAAGAAAAAUGGGAAACAAUGAUGCUUUAUUUUAUGACAUUUUCUAAAAGCGUCAUUAUUGAAGGGUAUAUAAUGACGCUUAUAAGAAGUGUCAUAGUUGUAUUAUUUACCUUGACACUUAUUAUAAGUGUCAUUAUUUGAUGUGGUAUUUUUCCUUAUAAUUGUGUAUAUAAUGACGCUUAGAAGAAGUGUCAUAGUUUUAUUAUUUACCUUGACACUUAUUAUAAGCAUCAUUAUUUGAUGGGUAUGUAAUCACGCUUCUAAGAAGUAUCAUAGUUGUAUUGACUUUUAAAAUUUUUGUUUUUAAGUUAACUUAUAAAAAUUUUGAUAUUAGAAUUUUAUUCUAUAAAUUAAUUAUGGUAAAUUGACACUAAUAUUAAUGACAUAAAGUUGCUACAUUAAGGUUUUUUUAAAAAAAAUUGGAUAUAAAUAAAAUAAAUCCUAAUAAAUUAUUUUUUUUAUUAUUUGAUAUUAAUUUUUUUUUAGUUUGUAUCAAUACAAUCUAUUUUCAUAAACUAUUUUUCAUUUUUAUUAAAUUAGAAAUUAUCUUAUAUUUCAUUUAAAAAUAAUUUGUUAAUUUAUGUGUGGACCACAAAAAAGUAGCCUAUUUUGAGCACUUGUUCGGGCCUUGGGCCACAUUUAUUGGUUUUAACCCAUUAUUUGAGAAGGUUUUAUAGUUAAUGAAUAUAAAUUUGAAAUUAUUUAACUAAAAUGAAAUAAAUUAAUAUUUAAAUUAAUUUAAUGAUGAUUAGACUCACAAUAAAACUAAAUGCAAUAAGAAUAUUUAUAAAAAAUUUCUAAUAUUUAUGGGAAAUAAGCUCAUUCUAUUAAAUUAGUUUUUUUUUUUUAAAUAUCAAUAUUCAAAUUAAACCAACAUCAACCUAAAAUAUCAAAUAAUUAAACUAUAUAAAUUCAUUAUGAGUUCAAUAUAUAAAAAUUAUUAUUGGAAGAUGAAAUAAAGAAUACUAUUUUUAAUUUAUUGAAAAAGGACAUGCGUGGUAUUUUGGAAUUUGUUAUAAAGUCCUAUAAAAAGAUAAAAGGAAGGGAUGGAAAGGCAUAUUUCAUACUUCAACAAGCCUUUACCAUUUUCUUUACUGAAAACCCUAAAUUUUCACUCUCCAUUGAAAACCCUAACUUUUGGAAGACAAGAAAGAAGGGAGAGAGCGACCGUUUUUAGAGAGAAAGAAGAGAAGAGAGAAAAAUGCAGGUUUUUCUCAUCAUGCCCAGAUUUUAUCAAAGGUUCGAUCCCGCUUCGUCCGUAGUCCGAUCGAGUUGAAAUUUGGAGGAGAGUUUCAUGACUCAUUUAUCUUCAAUCUGAACGGUGAAGAUCGGAUUUGGAGUUUCGUAAAGUCAUUAGAAAGAAAGAGGAGAAGAGAGAAAGACCUGCGUUUUUUUCAUCAUGCCCAGAUUUCAUCAAAUAUCCGAUCCCACUUCGUCCGUGGUCCGAUCGAGUUGAAAUUUGGAGGAGAGGUUCAUGGCUCACGUAUCUUCAAUAUGAAUGGUGUAGAUCGGAUUUGGAGUUUCUAACAGUCAUUAGAGAGAAAGAGGAGAAGAGAGAAAAACGCAGGUUUUUUCCAUCAUGCCCAGAUUUUAUCAAAGGUCCGAUGUCGCUUUGUCCAUGGUCUGAUCAAGCUGAAAUUUGGAGGAGAGGUUCACAACUCAUUAAUCUUCAAUUUGAACGGUGAAGAUUGGAUUUAGAGUUUUGAAAAGUCAUUUUUCAGCCAAAAAUAAAACCUUUGUUUUGGCAGGCUUUUCUCUCUGGAUUGGUUUGAUCAUUAGCUUUGAUCGAGGUCAAUUCGUGGUCCAAUUGAGUUGCAAUUUUAGGAGCACGUUCAUGACACAUUGAUCUUCAUUCUAACAAUGGAGAUUGGAUUUGGAAUUUGGAAAAAUGGUAUUUCAGUCCGAGAACAAUGGUUAUGUUUGGUGAGAUCUCUCCAUUAUUCUAGAUUUAAUUUUGAUUUAUCUAGUGUUUAUCUUGUAGCGAUUUACUAUUUUUGAUAUAAAUCAAAUUUGUCUACUUUUCAUGUCACCUGCUUUGCUAACUAACAAAUUAGAGCAGUUUAGAUCUUAAUUGGUUCAAAUUAUAGAUAUUCUCAAUCAGUUGACAAAUUGUAGAUAUAUUGCAUCCACCAAGUGUUCGAUGCUUAGUCCAUGAGAAGCCAAGUGCUUAAAUCAAUUGUUUAGCUUAUUAUUUUUAUUAUUAGUUUUAUUAUUUCUCCCCUUAAAGGCUUUCUUAAAGAGCUUGAGAAGUUCAUGGGAGGUAAUAAAGCCACUGAACUUUUGAGUUAGUUUGAAGUGCUUGAUUCAAAUCCAUCACCAUGAUGACUUAGAUCCUUAUUCUAUUCUUGUUAAAAAGAAAAACUUCCUUUUGACACUUUUUUAAUCAUAUAUUCUCAUGAUAAGUAAAAAUAGUAAUUCCAUUAAUAUUUUAUAUUUUAAUAUUUUGCAUAACCUACCAUGCAUGAAUUACCUCAUGUUUUAUUGAUUUCACAAGUUGGUUUGAGUUUUUGUGGUUUGAUUUCAUUUGAUUCAAGUUGUACCUUGUUAUUUUGGAGCUGGUUUUGGGAGUGAAAAAUGGUGAUUCGUUGAAGAGAAGAGAGACUGGGAUUUUUCUUUUAGGGGAGUAGAAGUGUGAAGAAAGGGUGGGAAUUUUCUAAGUAAGAGGAAACAAGAGAACAAGGGUUGUUCAAUUAAAGAUUUUUGAUAGAGGGAGGGAAGAAAAUUGAGGGAAUGAGCUGUGAGAGAAGGAAAGUUGUUUUGGGUGCUAGGCAAAAGGCAAGAAGUGAGGGUUGUUCGGUUAGAUAUCUUUGAUAAAAGGAGUGAAGAAAAUGAGAGAAGGAGUUGUGAGAGAAAGAAAGAUAGAGAGGAAGACAUAUGAAGACUGUUAAUUUGUUAAUGGAAAGAUUGAGGGAAAUGUUGAAAGAGGAAAAAAAGAAGGAAAGAAAAUAUAAGAUUGUUUGGUUGUUCAUGGAAAGCUUGAGGGAAAUGGGAGAAAGAGGAAAAAGAGAAGGAAAAAAAAUGUAAGAUUGCUUGGUUGUCCACAGGAAAAUUAUUAAAUUUAAGAUGCAUGCAUAUUUCCUACCUCUAUUCAAUGAAAAUUGAGAGGAAAAUCUUUAGACAUUUUUUCUACUUUUUUCCUUAAUAUUUUUUUCUUACAUUUUCCCAUAAUAUAUAAAAUUUCCCUUUGAAACUUUAUUUACGUUUUGUUCUUUGGAUUAUAUAUUUGAUAUUUUGUUUUUUAGGUAGAAGAAUGAUGAAUAAAAUAUAUUUUAUUGGAGAAAAUCAACUAAUAAUGCUCUUUACAGUUCAGUUCUUGGUAAAUAACUCAAAACCCCAUUUAGAAAUGUAUUUUUCUAUUGCUCUUGAAUCACCUAAAUUAAAAUAAAAUAAAAUAAAAAAAGAACUAGUGUUUCUUCUAUUGUUUAAUUUUCUCAAAAUUUUCUACUUUUCAUUUUAUAUUGGUUCUUGUGUUUUUUUUUUUCCUUUAAGAUUUUUGUGAGAGUUUUAGUUUGAAUUGCACUUUUUGGUUUUUGCAUUUAUAAUUGAGAGAUUUUUUAUUCUCCUUGUAUUUGUUUAUAGGUUUCAAAGGAAAUUGGUUGGCCAAAAGACAAGAAAUCAUAAUGUUGAAGGAGGUAGUAAUGCCGAAAACUAUGAAGAUUACAUCAAAGUCAUUUGGAGGAUGAUCUUAUUUUUUAUAGAAUAUAGAUCUUAAUAGUUGUUGCACUAAUAUUUAUUCUUUUGUAGAAUUAGAAAUAGUUAUUGAAAUAUUGUGAUAUAAUUAACAAAUUUGUAUGUAAUUAUUGUAUGUAAGUAUGAAGUUACAUUAAUGGUUUGAAUUGUAUAUCAAUAUUUGAAAAUAUUUUUAUUAGUAAAAUUUAGUUUAAUUUUGGGGCUUUUUUAAUUUUUAUUUAAUUAUAUAGGAAAUCAUUAUUUUAAUAAUAGGAUAUAAAAUAAUGUGUCAUUGAUAAAAUCUAUUAAAGAUGAUAUUUCUAUAAAUGUCAAGAUUGCUUAUUUCAUAAAAAUGAUAUCACUAGAAAAUGUUUAAAGUUGACGCUUCUUACGAGUGUCAUUGUCAACAUUAUCCAAAGAUAAUGCUUCUUUAAACGUCAUUGAAAGUAUUUAUCAAAGAUGGCGAUUUCUAAAAGCGUCAUUGUUGCCUAAGACAUACAAUGACAGAGCCGAAGAGGACGCUUUAGAGAAGCGUUAUCUUUUACCUUUCUUGACGCUUAAAAAACGUCAUUGUUUCCCAUUUUUCUUGUAGUGAAAUUCUUUAAUAUUUAAAGAUGACACUAGGAUAAGGUUUAUUUUUUCUAGAACGGAUUCAAUAGGGAGAUUGAAGUUUAUUAUAAUGCAAACUAGGUAGGAUAUGUGAAUGACCGAAGAUCUACAAUUGGCUAUUGUACCUACGUUUAGGGAAAUUUAGUAACUUGGAGUAGUAAAAAAUAGUUAGUAGUAGCAAGAAGCAGUGUUAAGAUAGAGUUCAAAGCCCUAACUCAAGGCAUCUAUGAAGGAAUGUGGUUAAAAAGGUUUCUUGGAGAAUUACGAAUUGAAACUGAAAGUUUAAUGUAUAUUUUCAAUGAUAAUUAAGUAAUAAUUGGUAUUGAAAAAAGAAUUUAGUUCAUGAUAGAAUUGAACAUGUGGAACUUGAUCUUCACUUCAUCAAAGAAAAGGUCAAAAAAGGGAUACUCGAGUUGACUAACACUUGAACAAGCCUCCAAGUUGAUUAUAUCUUCACAAAGGCUUUUUUUCACGUGUCAAAUUCGAAGAUUUGAGUUGAGAUUUGAGUUGAGAAUGAUUAAUAUCUAGUCCCCAACUCGGGAGUGCAUGAUUUCAAAAUCAAAAUUCUCUAGGAUUUUAGAAUAAAAAUCCCUAUUUUAUAGGAAUUAAUUCACUAAUUAAUAAAGAGAUAAAAUUCCUUUUUCUUUUUUUCUUUUUUAUUUAUGUACAUCUCUUAUUCAUGGGGAUGGAGUUUUAUUCUGAGAUUUGAUGGUAGUGUUGUACCCAUUCUCUUCUAUUUAUUAUUAUGUUUCACGUGCCUGAUCUGAUAUAUAUAUAAAAUCUAGCUUUGUCAUGAGGGUGGCCAUAUUCAUAUAUCACAAUAUUUUUUAUGAAGCUAAAAAAAUGUUGGAAUCUCAUUGACUGCCUUGGUAAUAAUGACAAAGGACAGGGGUAAGAUACUCAGACGCAUUAAUUUCAUUGAGGCGCCCUUCCCCUGAGUGCUUUGUAUUAGGAUAAUCAUUUCAUAACCACUUGCAUUGCACCAAAGUCUCUUACUCAGGCAGCCAAACAUUUUUUUUUUCCAAAAUGCAGCCCGAACACUUUUUAUUCCAGACUCUCCUUUCUAGGCGGUCGUUUUUUAUACAGUGAGGAGUCAUAUGAUUUGGCAUCACAAGUAAUUUUUAGGGUUUUUAAAAUAUAUUAAAUACUUUUUUAAAAAAAAAAAAAAAAAAAACUUUUUUCUACCUUUGUGUUUAGUGUUUUCUUAGAGAUAUUUUUAACUUUCUUCUAAAGUGUUUUCCAAGUUUAAUCAAAUACUUCAGGGUUUGUUUUUUUUUUUUUUUUUGAGAAACAUUUUUUUAAAACUUAGAAAUAGUGUCUACUAAAUUAACUGUCAAUUAGACUCUUGCUCUUAAUUAAGUUUGGGACAAUGAUCUUGAUUUAGUCAUACGUAUCCUCACUUGAUAUUAAGAGUAGAUUGUCCUUCAAUGAAACGGGACCAACCUUUUGGGCUUUCUAAAUAAAGGUGAGUAUUAAAUGGUUGUUGAAAGACAGACAUUUGCUUAUCUCAAAAAUCAGGAAGGAAUACCCUGAUAGAAUGAUGCUCACAUUCACUGUGUUCUCAUCUCCAAAGGUCUCUGACACAGUCGUGGAGCCAUAUAAUGCCACCCUCUCGAUGCCACUAGUUGGUAGAGAAUGCUGACGAAUGAAUGGUUAUGGACAAUGAAGCUCUGUAUGAUAUUUGUUUCAGGACUCUCAAGCUAACCACUCCUAGUUUUGGUGAUCCGAACCAUUUGAUUUCUGCAACCAUGAGUAGGGUUACUUGCUGCCUCGGGUUCCCAGGUCAGCUCAAUUCCGACCUCCGGAAACCUGCGGUGAACCCCAUUCCUUUCCCCCCUCUACACUUCUUCAUGGUUGGGCUUGCUCGUCUCGUCUCUCGUGGGUCUCAACAGUACCAUGCACUAACAGUCCCCGCGCUCAGCCAGCAGAUGUGGGAUGCCAAGAACAUGAUGUGUGCUGCAGACCCACGACAUGGCCGCUACCUCACUGCCUCAGCUAUGUUUAAGGGCAAGAUGAGCACCAAAGAAGUGGAGGAACAAAUGAUUAAUGCCCAAAACAAGAACUCUCCUUACUUUGUGGAAUGGAUUCCAAACAAUGAAAAUCAAACAGUCUCUGGAAAUGAAGGAACCGGUACGGCGGGCACGGCUGGACCAAGAAAGGGCAGUUUUGAAAGAAAAAAAAAAGAUUUAUGGUGUUCCUGGAACUAAUAACAAGCCCAAUAGUUAUAAAGAGGCGUCAAUGUUUGAAAUUCGGAAUAUACUGAUGGAAAAGGCACGGAAAGAAAUUCGCAAUAAACUUUCAGAAUGGAGCUCAGCAGCUCCAGCCCAGGCUGGGAAGAAAGAAAAAGAGAAAGUGAAACCAAAAGAGAAAAAAAAAACAAAAAGGUUCAAUGAAUGGUGAUGGUCCUGAUCCAAGUAAAAAUUCCAAGAAAAAAACCAAACUAAGAAGCUUUCUCCUGGCAUUUCAGUUGAUGGUACAGAUAGCGAGGCCCAUACACCUAUGGCAAUCAGUGUUCCAGAUUCUGAUUUUCAUGAUUUUGAUUUGAACCAAACUAAAAGUUCUUUUGGAGAUAAUCAGGUCUGGUCGGCAUACGAAGAUGAUGAUGGGAUGCCUCGGUUCUAGGCACUGAUUCAAAAAGUGAUCUCUUCGAAUCCGUUUAAGAUGAAGAUCAGUUGGCUUAAACCCUAAAAGCAACAGCGAAUUUGGUCCAGGAGAUUGAAUAGGCUGGUUGAAUGGAUAAUGGGGUGGGUUCACUAUGGAGCCUCCUUGAGAAAUAUCCAACACAAGGAAACAGCAAAUUAGGACCUUUUUGUCUUAUUCAAAAGGGUCAGACGGCUGGAACACAGGUGCUAUUGAGUUAAAUGUUGCCAUUGGGCAAGGAAUCGAGACCACCAGCAUCCACAGAGCAAACAACAAUUGCACCGUGGCCCCACGUGCGCAUGGCCAUGCAUGGCGACCUUUGGCGUCCAAUCCCAGCGACCACAUGUCAUCCUCUUAUUUCUUCUUUCUUUUGAUGUCAAAAUUUAAUUUCCCAAUUUUCAAUUUUUAAAUUUAUUUUUCAAAACUUCAAUUUUCAAAACUCUAAUUUUAAAAUUUUUUUUUUCUGAAAAAAAACACUUCAAAUUUCAAAUUUAAUUUUCAAAAACUUCAUUUUUUAAAUAAUUUUUAAAACUCUAGUUUUCAAAUUUAAUUUUCAAAACUCUCAUUUUCAAAUAAUUUUUCAAAAUUCCAAUUUUUAAAUUUAAUUUUCAAGAUUUCAAUUUUCAAAUAAUUUUCAAAACUCUAGUUUUUUUUCAAAUAAUUUUAAUUCUACUCCAUUUUUAAAAUAUUUUUAAUUCUACAACUUUUCAUCAUUCAUUAAGAAUUUAGGUCACCAAAAAUAUCGAAUUUAAUAAAUUUGCUAUCAUUCUUCUUCUAGCAUGCACUUUUACAAAUUUUCUUUGAUUUUUAUUUUUUUUUCUUUUCGUUUUUUUCUCUUUUUUAUAUAUAAAAAUGAAUAAAUUUUCAUAAUUCCAAAAUUAAUGGAAUUUAUGGGAAUUAAUUCAUAAUAAAAUAAAUUGGUAAAUUGGGCUUUGGUGGGGCCUACAUAUGAGUUUUCUCUUCUAAUUGUCAACUAUUAUACUUAAUGAAUAUUUUUUGAUCUUUGUUCUACUCUUUGACAUGCAUGUGCUAAUUUUAUCAUUAUGAACUAACCUUGUUUCCAUGAUAGCAUGUUCUUAUUUGCUAUUAAGGUAUGCUUUCACUCAUACUUCAUUUAUUUAUUCAUUCUUAUACUCGAUUUGUUUUAUUAUUUUAUCAUUUCAUUGGUAUCCAUUGAUUUCCUUAGCAAUUGUCACACUUGCAUCACCUUAUUUAAUAGAGACCCGUUUUUAGAGACUUAGAAGGGUGCUACAACUCACCAUCAUACAUUUCCAAUAAAUAACCUAACCCCCGGACCUAGACUUGAUUUUUCACAAAUCUAUUUUUUCUUUCUUUAAGAGUCACACUUAAAGUUUUCUUUCUAAUUUUGUUUUUCCUUAAAAAAAAAAUAAAACAAAAAUAAGUGGCGAGUCCAAGUAUUUUUUAAAAAAUAAAAUUUUUCACAAAUAAAAAAUGAGUUCGUCAUCGAGUGGGAAUGCAUCGUGCAAAAAUGUAGGGUCCACAUCUUUAAUUUUAUUUUUAUUUUAUAAUAGAAUCCAAAGUUUUGUAAUACUUAAAUGGCAGAAAGAGAGCAAUCAAGUUUCAUGUGCUAGUAUUUUUUAUUUUUUUUUAGUAUUUCUUGUUUGGAUUGAAACAAAAUCAAGGAUAUCAUACAAAAUUAUAAUAAACUUUUAAAUCUUUUACUACUUUCAAAUAGAUUAGUGUAUAUUAUAUUAUACAUAAUGUUAAAUCAUAGAUGCUUCAAAUAAUUAAGAAGGAUAACUAAUUAUCUUUCUAUUAAAAUAAAUAAAUGAUGUCAUUAAUUGUUGCAAACUAAUUUACAUUAUGGGAUGAUGAGUUGGUUGGUCAUUCUAUCAUCUUCAAAAUUAUCCUGGAUAAUAAAAGUAGUUCUAUAAUUAAUGAUUAAAUAAAAACAUUUCUUUUUCAUUUUUUUUUAAAGGUGGUUAUGAAACCAAAUGCUUGUACAUAUUAUGUUCUUUUCUUUUAAUAUUACAUUUGUCAUUUUUUUUUCAUUUAUGUACUAAAUUUUUUAAAGAUGACUUCCUUAUUUAAUAAGAGAAGUAAGUGUCUCAAUUAGAGUUUAUAAUACCGCUUGACUUUUUAUUAUAGAAAGAUGAAUAAUUUAAUCAUAAAACAAAAGCAAGUGUGGAAAAUUGUAGUAAUUCCAAUAUAAAAUGUAGGAGCUCUUAGAAAUUUAUCUUUAAAAAAAAAAAUUUUAAAAAUCAAUUCUUAUACAAAAUCAGAUAUUAAAUUUUUUUUUUACUAUCUCAAUUUUUAAAAAUCUUGAAAGUAAUUUUUAAAAAUAUAAAAUUUAUAUUCCAUGCAAGUUAUUGGAUUUCAUAUAUAAAUUACUAUUAUUUUCUCUUUUAGAAAACAUGAAAUUAGUAAGCCGGAGGGCACUUAGACACAUAUACAUUAAAGUAUCCACAUUUUUUAUUUAUGAAAAAUUAAAGAAAAUGAACAUGUCUAACUUUUCAUUUUUUAUAAGAUGAAAAUGACUACACUCCAAUAUGUUAAUAUUCAUGUCAUAUUUUAGUCAUGUUAUCAUGUUACAUCAAAAUUGUCAUCCUGAUAUUUUUUUUAUAAAUUUAAUAAUAUGGUACAUAAAUUUUGUAGAACGAAAAGUUUAUAAGCUAGUCUCGCUAAAUAUAUACCUAUAAAAAAUAUUUUAAAACAAGUGUAUAAAAAAUGGUCAUCAAAUAAAAUAAUGUUUGGAUUUAACAAAAUAACUUUGGGAUUUUAGGUUUAAGAAAUUUUAAACUAGGGCUGUCAAAGAUAGGAUUUAAUGAUAUUGGUUGGGAUUAUGGUAAUUCUUUUUUUUAUAUAUAUAGUAUUUGAAUUAUGACUGACUACAUCUAUAAUUAUAAUUAAAUAUUGAAUAUAUCUCUUUUCAUAAGGCACUAUGAAAUAAUUUGUAACAUAAUUGAAGCACAAUAAAAAAAAAAUUUAAGCUACUUUGGUCACUAUGCAUAUGAUCUUAAUAGAUAAAUGAGGAUAAUUUAUCAAUGUCUCAAAGUCAUUCUUGAAAGUACUUGUAGAUAAUUUCAAAUCAAUAAAAUUAUCCAUGCCUGAAAACAUACAAAUUAAAAUCAACAAUUCAAAUUAUCCAUGCUUAAAAACAUACAAAUUAAAAUUACUAAUUCAAAUUAUACGUGCUAAAAAACAUAUAAAUUCAAAUCCACAGUCCAAACAAAGAGUCUCUUUUAUGGCAUUAUCAUUCUGGUUCAAUACUGCAUCUCUACCACCCUUCCAAUUCCAAAACCAAUAGUUAGUCAUGUUUCCAUGCGCAACUUGACCAAUGGUUAGUCAUAGUUUAAUUAUCUUGUGCUUUUUCAUCUUCAGAUAGAAGCAAAGUAAGAGCAAAACAAAUAUCUAGAUAUUUCAUUUUUCACUAAUUCCAUCUAAUAAAUAUUUUAUUCACUAGUGAAUGAAAAAAGAAGAGAGAGAACACAUACCUUGCUAGAGGUUAAAGAAACCCUUGAUCCUUUCGAAACUAGAGAAUUUUUUUCUUGGAUGAGUGAUCUUCUCUAUUAGCAGGCCUUUUUCUCGACGGCUGAGGCCACUGCUUCUGAUCUUGGGCGUAUAUGAGAUGUAUCCCACAACUUUUCACUUUAAAGGAUGCGUUUUCGCCACAUGUAAAAGAGGCAUUACCGACAGGAUUGUCAAAGUGAGCCUUGAAGUUGUUCCACUUUCUGGAUCGAUACUUGCUUGGAAUGCCAAUCUGAGGGAAAUACGUCACCCACAGUGCUGGAUCUGAUGUGCUACCACUGUCGUAGCAUGUGCUGCCAUAUGAUAAACCGCUAAUCCAGUAUGUUUUACAAUGAGGAUGAAAACCAAUAUUAUCCAGUCGUUUAGAUUGAUCACCAUGGGAUAUCUCCAAUUUACAAUGUGGAAUAAAACCAGAUGUUCUCACGCAUUCAUCAUCAUCAAGGGGAACAUGAUGGAAGAAUAAAACAAAUCCUAACAAGUUAUUAUCUUCAUACCAAUUCAUUGGAAGCUCUACACUUACUUCACAUCCCAUUCUUUGAUGACUUACCCACUCUGGUAUUCCACUACUUCCUGGAAUGAUAAUAUUAAAUUGCUGCUGCAGAAAAAAAAUGUCAUGUAAAUCUCAUGCUUUUAGAAAAAAAAAAAAAGAAAGAAAAAAAGGGAUAGUUAUGCCAUGAAAAUGAUACCUGAAUUGGUGAUUUCAAGUGUUUGAGCAAAGAAGACCAGAGUAGACUUGAAGAAGUUUCAGUUUCCAGGCUUGGACAACCAUGUGCCUCUAUCCAUCCAAGACUUGAUGGAAGCUCUCCAAUUACUUCAAGCAUCGGACAAUGAUUCAUGAGAAGGAUACGAAGCUUGCAAAGUUGAGUGAUGCCAGCAGGUAUGCAACGCAUACGGCUUUCACUUAUGUUUAAAAAUACCAGUAAGGAUAGGCACCAUAAAUCACUGGGGAUUUCUUCUUCCAUCAGAUUGCAACCACCUAGAUCUAGCAUUGUUAAGCAACAUUGUAGGCUUCUCAAAUUGUCAGGCAAGUUGUGGAGCUUUGGACAGUUACGAACAUGAAGACUAGUAAGACAUGUCAAAUUACCGAUGCUAUUGGGAAGAGCCACAAGGUUCUCACAAUUGAUCAAUUCCAAGGAUUUAAGACCUCUCAGAUGUUCAAUUGAUGAUGGCAGCUCUGAGAUACCCGUCUCACAUAAAAAAAGGCGUUCUAAUUGUUCCAUAUCCUCUGUGAUCUCUGAAAAAGCCUUUAGAUUUGAACAACCAUUGAGAGAGAGGCCUUCGAGGGAUUUCAACUCACAUAUACUGUUUGGAAGACUUUUCAAGUUUUUACAAUUUUCCAAAUUUAAGCGAUCAAGUCUGGUGAGAUGACCUACUGAGUAGGGUAAUCCUUCAAUAGCAGUCUCAUCUAGAAAAAGAGCCCAUAGAUUCCCCAUAUUUUUUUGGAUCUCAGGAAACCUCUCAAGAUUUGAGCAACCACUGAGAGUAAGACUUCCAAGGGCUUGCAAGCGCCCAAUGCUAUUUGGGAGUUUCUUAAUAGCGGUAUUAUCUAAAGAAAGCUCCUUCAAGCAUUUCAUAUUCCCUUGGAUCUCUGGAAAUUUCUCAAAGUUUGAGCAAUAUGAGAGGUUAAGAUUUUCAAGAGAUUCCAAAUACCCAAUGCUCCCUGGGAGUUCCUUAAUACCACUCCUAUAUAGACAUAGCUCCCUUAAACGUCCCAUAUUGGUAAAUACAUCUGAAAAUUUCUCAAACUUCAAACAUUUUUCAAGAGAAAGAAUUUCAAGAGAUGUCAAGGACCCAAUGCUGUUUGGGAGUUCCUGAAUAGCAGUCUUCCUUAAAUAAAGGUUCUUCAAGCAUUUCAUAUUCCCUUGGAUCUCUGGGAAUUUCUCAAAUUUUGAGCAACAUGAGAUGUCAAGAAUUUCAAGAGAUUCCAAAUACCCAAUGCUGCUUGGGAGUUCUUUAAUACCACUCUUACGUAAAUGAAGCCCCCUUAAAUGUCCCAUAUAGGUAAAUGUAUCCGGAAAAUUCUCAAACUUCGAACAUCCUUCUAAAUAAAGCUCCCUCAAAAAUUUCAUAUUCCCAUGGAUCUCAGGAAAUUUCUCGAAGUUUGAACAAUCUGAGAGAUUAAGGACUUCAAGAGAUGCUAAAUACACAAUGCUACUUGGUAGUUCUUGGAUCCCACUCUCAUUUAAAUAAAGCUCCUUCAAACAUUCCAUAUUCCCAUGGAUCUUAGGAAACUUCUUCAAGUUUGGACAACAAUUAAGAUAAAGAACUUCAAGAGAUUCAAACUUCAUGCUGGAUGGGAAACUUCGGAGUUGUUCACAUCCUCCUAAAUUCAAGUAAGUCAAACUUUUGAGAUCACCAAUAGAUGAAUGAAGUUCACACAAGCUUGUACAACCUUCAAGAUUCAGUCUCUCCAAAUUCGGCAUGCUUGAGAAUUUUGGCAUUUUGACCAACUGUUUUGAGUUACUUAGAUCAAUGCCCUUUAAUUCUUCAAAACGCUAUAACAGAAGACAUUUUGUUAAUAUAAAAAAAUAAAAAUUCUUCAACUUGAAUAUUAUUAUAAAGAAAAAAAAAAUUAAAUAAUGAUCAUACCUUAUUCCCUUUCCAAAGUUGUUUUAUGUUGCUAGACUUCAAGUUGAUUUCAAUAAGGUGCUUUCCAUAAAAGUUCCAAGGUAAAGAUGUCAAAGUGCAUCUUUGCCAAUGAAGAUAUCUCAAAUCAUGAGGAAAUUGAAAGUCUUUACGAAGAAGCACUUUAUACUCCUCUCUCGUCAAACCAUCAUGAUCAUUGCAAUAGAUUUUAAGCAACCUAAGUUUCUUCAUCUUGGCAAACACUUUUGUAUUGAACUGUAUUUCUCUUGAUCUAGAUAAGUCCAAAGAUAUGGUUUGAAUAUUUUGCAUCUCCUGGAAAACAAUAAGGAAAAAUAAGGGAAGAACACAAGAUAAAAAUCCUAACUACAAUUAUAUAGACAAUUAACCACUAAAAAAUCAAUUAUAAACAUUUAAAUAAAUAUUUAGGCAUUUAAUCCAUACCUCUUGUUUAGAAAAUGCAUCAUGAAUAUCAUCUACAUCCCACAAUCUACUCCAUUUGCAGGGGUCUCCAGGAGAUUCUUCACGAACAAUUGCCCAACCCAUUUCUUGUAUCAAGUCAUGCAUUUGUAUGACACUGUCUAAGAUAGUUACUAAACAUCUAUCACAGAGAACUCUUAUGUUGCAUGUUGCAAAUAAAUUGCAACCAUCUAAUAUUCUUGACACAAAAUAUUUGCAUUCAUCUUUGAAAAAACACGCAAUGUCCAAGAAAACCUCCUUUUGAGAAGGAUCAAGCCCAUCAAAACUUAUUCUAAGCACAUCAUUAAUUUCCUUCAUAGGGUUUUUUUUCAAUUUAUCCGAUGCGCUUUUCCAUUCAUCUAUUGUCAUGCCCUGAAGAGAAGAACCUAGAACUUUAAGGGCCAAAGGGAGACCUUGAGCAUAUUGAACCAUGCAAUUUGAGAGGUCUACAUAAUCUUCCUUAGGAACAUUUUGUUUAAAGGCAUGUUGGCUGAAGAGUUGAAGAGCUUCCUCAUAAUGUAAUUCUGUAGCCUUAUGUGAUAUAGUCACUCCAUACUCAACCAACAGAUGUUGGUCUCUGGUUGUAAUGAUAAUUGUACUUCCUAGACCAAACCAUUUAGGACUUCCAACCACUGACUCUAAUUGCUGCAACCGAUCCACAUCAUCAAUUACAAUAAGAACCUUUUUUGAGCGAAGUCUGGACUUUAUUAUAUUGAUACCUUUAUUGAUAUUGCUAAACUCUACAUCAUUCCCCACUGUAUCAUGUAGAAGUUGUUGUUGUAGUUGAAGUUGACAACCCUUGUUGAAUGUCUCUCUGACAUCUUGAAGAAAGCUUGCACCAGUGAAUUGAUAUUGGAUCUCAUUAUAAACAAUCUUGGCAAUGGUAGUUUUACCAAUUCCACCAGGUCCAUAGAUCCCAACCACACGAAUGUCAUUCAAGUCACUACUUAACAAUGAUUUUAGUUCUUUUAGGCGAAAAUCCAUCUCAACUAUAUCAUUGUUGAUGUGCAAAAGCUUAGAAUUCAUUGAUCUUUUAAAAAUCUGGUUAAUAAUUUCCUUAAUAUGCUUUGACUCAUACCUGCCAAUUAUAAAGUACAAUUUAACACUUCAUGAGUCAUAAUGAAUUGCAAAAGAUAAGAAAUAUAAAGUAAAUUUAGUGAUAUUCACUUGAUUUUGUCCAUAUAACAAAAGUAAUAGGAUGUAAAAAGUAUUAAAAGAACCCAAUAUAUUGAGCAUUUAUAGAUAAUGAGAAGGCAACAAGUUUUGAGCCUAGUGUUAAUAAGAUCAUAAAGCAAGCUUUACUAUACAAAAUUAUUAACUUGUUAAUUCAUGAUUUAAGACAACUAAAUCCUUAUAACUUAAUUAAAUCAAAAGCACAAAUUAAGGAAGUUGAAGUUACCCAUCAUUCACAUGGAAACCACUUAGAUUGCUUGCUUCAGUCAAGGAAUCCCUCCACCUUUGCACCUUUUUCCCAUCUACAUUUCUUUCAUGAAAGGAAAAUGCCUCUCCGAAGCUCCCUGUUUGCUUUCGCACAUCACAAGGAUCCACGUGGUAGAACACCGGAAAGACUAUUUGUUCCAUUUCUUCCCUGCACUCCAUGAUCUUCGCUAACUCAUCCAAACACCACUUGGAAUGAGCAUAGUUUUUUGAGAACACAACUAUGGAAAUUCUUGAUUCUUCAAUAGUUUUCAAAAGUUCUGAUUUGAUCUCCUCUCCUCUUUCAAGUUGAUCGUCUCUGAAAGUCUUAAUCCCCAUCCCAUGCAAAUUUACGAAUAAAUGAUCCGUAAAAUUGUUGCGGGUGUCUUCACCUCUAAAACUCAAGAACACUUCGAACUCAUAUUUACGGACUGAGGUAGAAGAAGAAGAGGGUUUUUGGGUAGAGGAAGCCAUCGUUGGAUAGUUUCUGGAUGAAAGCAUAGAGAGAGUUGAGGAAGAACCUGUGCUUAGUCAAUACUUCGAUAUGAAGCAAAACUCUUUUUUUUUUUGUGUUGUGGUUGGAUUGUAAAAUUUAAAAAAUAUAUGCAAGCAGGUGAUCCUGCAUGUGAUUUGUCAGUUAAAUGUCAACGAGUAAUGUGAUUUGUCCUUCUUUAAAAAAAUAUAAAGAAGGACCCACCCAUCAUAAAACCCGUAAAAGCCUUACAUUAAAAUUUUAGUCUUCGGUAUCAUGGCCAUUGGCGCUUUCUUUGACCAGUCAAAGCCUUUCAAUACAAUUGCCAUAGGUCCUUUCCUCUUUAACUAGUCAAAGCCUUAAGUUAAAUUUUCAAUUUUUUGGUAUUCCUUCGUAUUAUGGCCACGCCCCUUUACUUUGACCAGUCAAAGUCUUUCAAUACUAUUGCCAAGGGCCCUUUUCUCUUCAAGGGAUCAACCCAAUAAUUUUAAUUUAAGGCUUUCAAACCAAUUGGGCAAUUUAAUAUAUAGUUUAUUCCCCUGUCCUAAAUUUUAACUUAAAUUCAAUUAAUUUUAAUUACUUUAUUUUUAUACUCUAUUUAAUAUAUUAUUAAAAAUAUAAAAAAAUCAUAAUAAUCUUAUCAGAGUCUUUCUUUAUUUAAAAAAAUAAACUUUGGGUAUAAAAUUGUUAAUAUUUUUAAACAUAAAAAUAUAUGUAUAUAUCAUUAUUUUUUUUUAUAUAUUUUAAACAAAGAUCAUCAUUUUACUAUGAAUAAAAAUUUACUUAUUAUGAAAAUGUAAAAACCAUAAUAAUGAAUUAAUGAAAAUAAUCUUUUAUGUUUUUUGUAUGAGGGAGUUUAAAUGAGGGCUUAAAGACUUAUUCUUAUUAAACUUAUGAAGAAAUUUUUUUAUUGUUUCAAUGAAUUAAGCAGUUUCCUUCUAGAAGUUGUUUUUUUCUUAAUUUGCGUUGAACUUAUGAAAAGAAUGCUUUAGAGUUUUUGGUUGUAUUAGAAACUGUUCUUUUCUUUUGAGUCCCCUCACCAAACAGGCAUUGAAGGAUAAUAUAUCUGUAUUCAGAGGUGAAUUGAGGCACUUGAUCCCACCCCUUAGAUUUUCAUCUCCUAAUUUGGCUCCUUAAUUGCAAAUCCCUUUGCGACAUUUUUUCAAAAAGAGAAUAUGUUACUUUAUUCUAUUUGAUCAAUUCAAUGGCCAUUUGGACCUAUUUUUGGUGUCUACAAGAUGUCCAAACACUAGGAGACAACAUGUGCAUGUCAUUGUUAACCUAGUUGGAGCUUGAAAUUGUUUUCUAUUGACGAGUUAGGCUUGGGUUGCGGUGGACCUUGGCAUGAUUUGACGCUUAUUCUAAUCCAAGUUGGGCCGUAAUUUAACAAACUGGACUGAGGGCUUGAGCACUUUGUGGGAUUGAGGAAAUCUUCUUGGGGAAGUGGACCUUGAAGCUUGAAACAUCAAUUUUUGAAGAUGUCAACAAUUUGGAGACGUUAUAUGUACUAGAUGCUUAAUAUGAGUCAUCAAAGAAGUUUUGAUGAAGAUUCAAAGACAUCCAUGAAAGCUUGUUUUUUUGGCCUUCUUCAAGUGUAUAAUAAGCUUUGCUUUUGCUGGCCAUACUCUUUAAUAAAAUACAAUUUGCCAGCCAAACUCUUUAAUAAAACGAGACAUUUGCUUACCAUGUCUUGUUUAUUUCUUUUAUUGUAUAUUUGUCAUAGCUCAUGGUUGAGAACUAGUUGACCUAGUUUGUCAAAGCCAAUAAAUUAUUUUUACAUAUUUCUUCAAACUUAUUUUACUUAUUUUCAUUUAUUAUAUAAAGAUUAAAUAAUUUUAAAAUGUACAAUUUUUUAACUAAUUUUAAUUAUAUUAAAUUUUCGUUAGUGUUUUCCAUGGUAAAACCAUAUAGGAGAAAACUAUUUUCUUUGCAAUUUUUUUUCUUUCCUUAAUACUUUUUAGGAACUAAACAUAGCCAUAAUGAUUAUUCCGAACCCUAGAGGUUUAGUUAUUUGAUCACAACUAAUAUUAAGAUAAACAAGUAAUUAACUCACGAGUCUAAUAGAAUCCAUAAUAGUAAGUAGUAGAGUCUUUGGUCAUGUUUAUACAUAUCUUGGAUUUGAUCAAUUUCUUUAAAUUUUUUGUUGAUUGUGAAUCUAAAUAUGAGGGUUGAAGCAUAAAUUUAACAAGGGAAUUGAAUAUAUUAAUGAUUAAGUUAUGAUCAAAAUAUAUAUUAAGAAGAUUGGACUGAAUUUAUUUUCCUUUUAUUAAUCUUAAAAAUCGUGACAACUUGAAGAAUAUAGUGGUAGGUGAUGGGAUAUGUACAAGAUGCUAAGUAUGAGUCAUGUGAUUUACUAUUUGAAAUUGAUGGUAUAUGGAUUUCACUACAUUAAAGUAGAUAAAAUAUUUUAGCUGAUGAUCUUAAAGUUAAUUUAAUCUAAUAAACUAAGUAACUCAUUUAAAAUUUUCUUGCUUAAAUUAAGUUGGGAUUUUGAGUGUUUUUGAAAUGGUACCAUUUUAGUAUAUAGCUAAAAAAAUUUUAAACUUAAAUAAUAUUUACUGUGUAAUGAAAAUGAAGUAUAUAACUACUAAAAUUUUGGAAAUAGCAAAAAAUAGAAGAGAUUAUGUUAAAAUCUAGUAAGAAUCUUAAUUUAUGAAGUUUUUAGUUGUGAAUACCUUUUUUAUUUGAACUUAAGUUAGGGUUACAUAAGGAUGGCGAUAGGGUGGGUUCGGGGCAGGUCGCCCCCAUCCCAACCCCACCCCGUUUAUUCAAAAUAAUUCUUAUCCCCGUCCCAUUUAAAAAAUUAAACGGGGUGGGAUGGGUAUGAGAAUUCUCAUACCCACCCAGCCUCUUUUAAGUUUAUUUUUUUUUAAUUUUUAAAUUUUUAAGAUUACUUUAAAAAAAUUUUAAUUACAUUAAAAUAAAUAUAUUUUAUAAAUAAUUAAAUUAUUAUAUUUUUUAUAACUUAUUUUAUUAAAAAAAAUAUUUUAUUAUUAUCUAUAUAUUAAAAAUAGUAGUAAAAAAAUAAUUUAAUUUAAUUUUAAAAAUUAAUUUUAUAUAUAAUUGGGGUAGGACGAGGCGAGAUAAGACAAUACUCGAACCCAAUCCAGGUUUUAAAAAAAUUCUCAAACCCGUUGCAAACUCAUUUAGUUAAAAUUCAAACCCAUCCCAUUAGGGAUAAGGUGGGGCGGGUACCCAAAAAAACCCGCCCCAUUGUCAUUCCUAGAGUUAUGAGCGUUUGGAGGCUAGGGUAAUAAUAUGUUAGCAUAAAAAUUCUAGAUUCUUGUUUGAAAUUCAAUAUUAUUUAUUAUGUGAUGGGAAAGUUAAGCAUGUAGAAGUAUCCUUGCACUAAAAUUUAAUUUGAUUGACUAAUUUGAAAUUUCAAUGUUGAAUUGAUUAUACAACAGAUAAUUUUAAGAAUAUGUAAAAAACAUGGGAGAUUAUAUAAAAAUUAUUCCUUUUCAUUUUUGUUUUAUUUUGUUUUUUGUUUUGUUUUCAUUCAUGGGAGAAGAUGUUAGAGCUCCAAUACAAGCCGGUAGCAGAGGGAGUAUGGCAAUGACUAAGGUGGAAAUUUGUAAGAAAAAAUUUGAGGCAUAGAUCAAAAUAUAUAAGGGGCUUGGUUUUUGGCCAUAAACCAUUUAAGUUUUCUAGAUCACCAUCAUCUUGCCAACAUGAGGUAGAGUUGGAGCAUGGACUUGUGGAGACUCAACAACAAUAGCUUGAUAUCCAAUAUGAGCUAGUUAAUUGACCAAUUGGAAGCAAACGAAAUCAAUAACAUCAACCAUUUGAAGAGAUUUUACGUCAUCUACGAUUUAGCCAAGGAUCCUGAUGAUCCCUCACGAUGUAGCCAACAAAAUCAAUAACAUCAACAACAAUUCGGAACAUAGAUUUUUUCUGUCACAUAAACUAUUCGUUUUGGGUGAGAAUAGGACCAAACAAGCCCCAGUUAGACAUGAGAAUAGAUUUAUAAUAUUUUGAUCGGCCACAUCCAUAAAUCAAAAUAUCUUUUAUAAAGUCAAAAAAAUGUUGGAAUCUGAUUGAUUGCCAUGGUAAUGACAAAAAAUAUAAAUAUCUUUUAUAAAGCCAAAAAAAUGUUGGAAUCUCAUUGAUUGCCACGGUAAUGACAAAGAACAGGGAUAAGACACAAAGACGCAAUAAUUUCAUUGAAGGCCCCUUCCCCCGAGUGAUGUGCCAUUUUGUAGAAUCUGUUGCUGCCAAUGCGUGCACAAUACUUGUUGUGAUAAUGGCAAGCUGGAUUCUUGUCGUUGUAACACCUGUCUCGACUUCAUUUCUCAUGUCAACAGCAACAACAGUGUAUCAUUUAUUUCCCUCCAUUUAUAAUUAACAAAUAAACCUUCUUUCCUCCCCCACCAUCUUCAUCUUCAGCCUAUUCUCUUCUUCUCCUCGGUUCCACAUUAUUUUUUUCCGUCCUUUUUCGAACUCACCCAAAAUUGAACAUGGAGCAAAAAAUCCCAAUCAACGGAAAUUGUAGGGAAAAAAUUCCAUAUGAAAUACAUAAGUAUCUUUAAGGUUGCAAAUUUCAACAAUUUUUUUCCAUGCACUUUCUAGGAAACCAAACAAUGAAAAAACACAAGAGAAUAUAAUCCGGAAAAUUACCUGAUAACGAUAGGGUUUCAAAAUGUAAUUCUAUUGUUCUUCAUCGCCUCGAUACAUUGCCUUCUCUCCCCAGCAUCAUAGGCCCUUUUCAACCCACAAAGUGGGUUUGCAUUUGCAUAAUCACCUAGAUUUUCUCCCCAAUAAAAAAGAAAAAAAUAUAUAUAGAAGGAAAGAAAAUCUGACCUCCCCAAUCACUCCAAAACCCGCUUCUCUCUCUACUAUCAUUUUUCCCACUCCCUCUACCGUUCUUCUUCCCACUACCUUUACAGGUCUCUAUUGAGACCCACUACUACACCAAAUUCUGAUUUUCAAGUUAAAAAUAAAUAAAAAUUCCCCUUCUUAGUAAACAAUGUGAGUUCGCAUCUCAUUAGAGAGGAUCCAAAUCCCAACUGGUGUACCCCACUAUCUUUCUUCCUAAACCCCCUGAGUCAUAUUCCUUAUUUAUUUAAAAAUAAAAUUUAGAAUAUUUACAAAAAAUUUAACUUUUAAUUAGAAAAAUAAUUUAUAAUAGUUAAAUAAAGAUAAGUUUUUUUAUGUAAGGUAUGGAAAAAAAUUAUUAUCAAGUAUUUGCUAUGCUAUAUUAAUGAUUUUUUUAAUAUUUGCAAAAUUGUUUAGUGUCCAAAUCGUAAUAUUUAAAAUAAAUAAAGAAGAAAAGUAGAAAAAAGAGCCAUAGAAAAAAUAAUUUAAUAAAAAUAUAUAAAUAAAAAUAGUGCAUGUCUUACAUUAAAAAAAGUUUAUCUUAUAUUUAAGUAUUAUUUUUCCAUUUAUAAUUACUUUUUAGGUGUCUCAUUAAUAAUUAUUUGAACAACCCAAAAUAUUCAAAAAAAUCAAAAUAGAUAAAAUGUCCAUGAUAUUAAGAGAAUCUAGAGUGUUAAAAACAUUAAUGUAUAUUUGACUAUUAAAGAAGUUACAAUUAUUUGUGAUAAUGAAAAAAUAUUUUAGGAAUGUUAUUUUUUUUUUCUUAUCAAAACUCUCUAAUAGUUUUAAUUUAUUAAACUAUUAAUUAAAUAAUAAUAAAAUAGUAAUUUUCAAAUAGAUCAAGAUGGUCGAAUGUUUAAAAUGAAAAGUCAAUUUUUCUUUAUGCAUAUAGAUAGAUAUAGGAGAUCAAGUGAAGAGAUAUUAUUUUAGACAUAAUCAAUUGACCAAUAUAAUUAAUAAUAAUUAGAUUUCUCAUCUAAAUAAGAUUAUUAUUUUACUUUUCUAAAAUGUUUAAAAUAUUGUAUCUAAAAAAAUUUAUUUAAACAAAAUUAAUAAUUCUUUUUUUUUUUUCAAUUUCUUGAAAUUUUUGAAAAAAUAAAUCUUGUAAAAAAAAUCCUAUUUAAUAAAACUAUAAUCCCUAACAUAGAACUUCAACAAAUAAUAAGGUAUGCAUAUUUGUUAAAUAAUAAAAAAUUAAUUAAGUAACAAUAAUAAUUUUUUAUUGACAUCUAGAUUUUUUAUUACAGAACAAAUAUAUAAAUAAACUUGUCACGACAUUACAAUAUAUUUUUGAAAACAAAUGCUAAAAAAUUUAAAUAUUUUAUUUUAUCUUACUAAAUUAUUUUCUCAUAAUUUUUAUUAAAUAAUUAAACAAAAUCUAAUAUUAACUUUAUUACUUCACGUUCACAUGCCUUGCAUGUGGAACGAGCCUAAUUAUACUCAAGGAUGAAAAUAUCUAUAAUCACGGAUAUAUCGGUACUUCGAUUUUACGGAUAUAUCGACGGAUAUUUUGAAAAAAAAUAUCGAUAAGCCUAAAAUUGAUCAAAAUUUAUAAAAAUAUAAGAAAAACUUCAUAAAAAUAUAAUUAGAAGUAUAAUGAUAUUUUAAAAUUUUUUUAAUUAAAUAAUUUGAUAUAUGUAUAAUAUGAUUUAUCAUAUUUGAUAAUAAUAUUGUAUGUGCUAAUAAAAAAACUAUAAAUUUCAUAAGUAUAUAUUUAUUAUUAAAUUAUAUCAAUUAUUAUUCAUAAUAAUAUUUGUGAUAUUUGAUUAUAAUAUGUCUAAUUUUAAAAUAUAUUUAAUAUUAAAAUUAUAAUUCAUUUAAUUUAAUUGUAUUAAAUGAUAUAAAAUAAAUGAUGAUAUAUGUAUAAUUUUUAAUACUUAAUUAAUAUAUUAAUAAUAUUAAAAACACUAUAAAGAAAAUUAUCACGAUGAUUUUUAUAUUUUUGGUAUUCAAAUAGAUGAAAAAAAUUUAUUUAAUUAUAAUUAAUUUGUUCUUUAAAACAUUUUUUUAAAAAUUAUGUUUAUAUGAUGAAUUUAACUUUAUAUAUAUUUGGUGCACAAUAUAUAUCAAGGGGCAAACUUGCCCUUGCGGUUGGCUAGUUAUACUUAAACAAUGGUAUCGUGUUUUUCUUUUUUUAACUAGAAUACCAUGUUUAUACCAUGUUUUAUAUUUAAAUUUUUGUUUCUUUAUACUUUUAUCCCACUUAAACACUUUUGAGAGUGUUUCUAAGAAUUCUUUUUAAUUGAAGUGUCAUUUUCUUCUUAAAUAUUUUUUAAAAUUUUAUUAAAUACUAAGUGGAUGUUUGGUAAACCAACUUAAUAACUUAAUUUAAGUUAUUAAGUAAAUUAAGUAUGUUUAGUAAAAUAACUUAAUAAUGUGACUUAAAGUAAAAAAAUAACUUUAAGUAAUAAAUAAAAAUAAUUAACUUAUUCUUAAACUUACAACUUUAUUUUAUAUUUUUUUACCCUUAUUUGUCUUAGUUACUUUCACGAUCUCUUUUACUACUCUACAACUUGGUGUUUUGCCAACUGGAUGUAGGUCUAUCUAGCUUCACUAGAGUCAAACAGACUUUUUCCCUGUACAAAAGGAUGUUCGGAUAGGUGGUUCAAGUACGCUCCUUUUAAGCUUAAGUCAAAAUCUAGCGAGAGUGAAUCCAACUUUUUGAAUGGCUAUGUGCGCGUACCUUUUUCAUCCUUUUGGAGGGGUUUUUAUAGAACAUUUAGCGUCAUCAUCACAACAUUGAUUGUGCAUUUAUGCCUUUCUUCCGUUGAUGAUCGCCGUCAUGGGGGAUAUUAUGCCUUAAUAAUGUAGUCAACGCCAUCAUCUUAGCAUAGAUUAGGUAAUCAUAACAAACAAGAACCGUUGAUUGGUGCCAUUUGUAGGCUGUCGUGCAAGAAUCUCACACCAUGUCAUUAACUACGCAUUUACAUUUGUCAAUGUCGCUGAUUGCAUUUAAUGAUUGAUUGACAUUGAUUUUUGGGUGUAAAUGUCAUCUAGAUUGUCGCUUAGGCAUUGACAAUGAUUAAUCAUCUGUCCAGUGCUUAGAAUUUUCAAUUGGGUUGGUUUGUCCGUUUGGAAGUCCCUAGUCGGCUUGUCUAUCCAUUCUGUCUAGCAUUGGGGAAAAAAGAAAUUUGCAUUUUCUCUUGCGCCAAGCGGAGCUUGUCUUAGUCUAGACGGAUUACUUCCUAAUGGAUUAUCUACUUACCUUGGACAGCCAAAGGGUCUUGAGCUUAGGAAUGACACGUGAAGAGAAACUUCCCACACAACCUCCAUAGUUAUUCGAUUUCGCCUAAAUUAUAAUUUAUGAGAUAAAAUAUAUCAAUUUGAUGAUUUAAAAUAAAUUUUAAGUUAAUUUUAUCAAAUAACCUUAAUACUUAAAGUAAAAAUUAAGUCAUAAGUUUUAAGUUAACUUAAGUGUAAUUUAACUUAAAAUCAAUUUAAACUAUUAAGUAGUAAGUAUUAAAUUUUAUCAAACACCCACUAUUUUUUUUUUUUUUUUGAAAACUUUUUUCUACAUGUUUUCUUAAAGAUUUUUUUGAACUUUUUUUAAAAGUGUUUUAAAGUUUUAUCAAAUACUUCGUUUGCAUUUUUUUGAAAAAAAAAAUGUUUUUUUUUAACUUAGAAUUAGUGGAUAUUUGGUAAACCAACUUAAUAACUUAAUUUAAAUCAUUAAGUAAGUUAAGUAUGUUUCGUAAAAUAACUUAAUGAUAUGACUUAAAGUUAAAAACAACUUUAAGUAAGAAGUAGAAACAAUUAAUUUUUUUUUAAUGUUCAUAUCUUCAUUUGACAUUUUUACCCCAAUUUGCCUUAAUUACCUCUGCAAUCUCCUUUGCUAUUACUCAACUUUCUCUAUCCUAAUUAUAAUUUAUGAUGAUAAAUAUGUCAAUUUAAUGAUUUAGAAUAAGCUUUAAGUUAAUUUUAUCAAACAAACUUAAUACUUAAAGUAAUAAUUAAUUAAUAAAUUUUAAGUCAACAACUUAAAUAUAAUUUAACUUAAAGUAAACUUUGGUUAUUAAGUAAUAUAUAUUAAAUUUUACCAAACACCCUCUUAGUUUUUUCUGAAAUAACUAUCGGAAGAUUCUUACUCUUAUUUAAGUGUUUUUUUUUUUCCCCUCAAUGAUCUUGAUUAGUCAUACAUAUCCACACUUGAUAUUAAGAGUUGGUUAUCCUUUAAUGACAUUGGAUCAACCUUUUUGAGCUUUACCGUCUCAAUGAUCUUGAUUAGUCGUACAUAUCCACACUUGAUAUUAAGAGUUGAUUUUAAUGACAUUGGACCAACCUUUCUGAGCUUUACCGUCUAACUAAAGAUAAGCACCAAACGGUUGUUGUGAGACUGACAUUUGGAGCCCUUCCACUUGCCUACAUAUACCCCAGAAGUUGGCUUUAGGUUUACCAUCUUCAACCUCUCCUUUUGCCCAAUCUUUUAUCAUUGAAUAACAGACAUGGAUCUCUUCUUUUCAUAUCUACUAUACUUUAUACUAUUCUCCAUAUCACUUCUAAUAGUCUUCCUUAUUACUUACAGGCACAAAUCCUCCUAUCCAAACCUUCCCCCUGGGACAAUGGGAUGGCCAAUCAUAGGAGAAACUUUGGAAUUUGCUUUGUCUUGUCAAGGGGGGAACCCGGGGAGAUUCUUGAACGAUAGAAUGAACAAGUACUCCCCUCAAGUGUUCAAGACCUCCUUAUUGGAAGCGAACAUGGCUGUGAUGUGCGGCCCUUCGGGGAACAAGUUUCUUUUCUCCAACGAGGACAAACUUGUAGUCUCAUGGUGGCAGCGUUCAAUGAAGAAGAUUUUGUGCUUCCCAUCUGUCUUCAACGAAACUUUAA